This 48665-nucleotide long non-coding RNA is filed under the name Malus domestica (apple). Its description in RNAcentral is "long non-coding RNA (MDOM_LNC011609)". The record is from RNAcentral. Lineage: Eukaryota; Viridiplantae; Streptophyta; Magnoliopsida; Rosales; Rosaceae.
UGAAUGUCGGCUAGCCUUACCCCCAUUUAUGGGGAGGCUGCUCCCAAGUCUCGAACCCGAGACCUACCGCUCAUGGGCGAAGGCACUUGCCAUCGCACCAAGUGCGACCUCUCAUGAACUGAAGUAUUGGUGAAAUUUAUAUAAAGAUAAGUUGCUUCCCAGGAAUUAGAAAUAAUCCACAUAUAUGGUGAGAGCAAAGUUGUGUUUUUAUGUAACACCAAAAUGCACACAAGGUAGGGAAAAGGGCACCAACCGUAAAGGUAGAUUAAGUAAAUCAACUUUCAUGAAAGAUAAACUGAUACUCAGCCAAUUUUUUCAAAGUGGUGACCAGUGACAAGGUUCUAUCGCAACUAGUAUGCUACUGAAAACCCAUUCAAUGAGAAAACCUAGAACAAUAGGUACAAAAUUGACUUACGGAUUAAUUUGUUUUUCAUGUGAAGAGAUAAUAUACACACACGUGUGUGGAAGUCACUACUAUUGGAUUUGAUUUUUCUAUUAUGGUCAAACUAUAUAUGGUUCUAAAGUAGACCCAAAUGAUUAAAGGGUUACUGGUCAUAGAAAUUGACAUGUGAGAGUGAGAGUAAGAUGGAGAUGAUACCUGACAGUCUGAUCAGUGUGUAUUCCAACAAGAAGAAAAUCCCCAAGCUCUCGUGCUUUCCUUAAGAUCUAUAUGAAAAAGAUGGCCAUGUAACCAAAAGGUCAGUUUUUUCUCCCUCAAUAGCUUAUCAAAUCUAAAGUAAAAAUUGGAAAACAAAAGAAAAACAGACAAGAAGACCGUAAUGGCAUGAAUAUAGUAGAAUGAACAAAAAAAAAAAAAAAAAUCCCACGUCUAACAACAAUGGUGCAGAUAUAAUGUGUAAUGUGUCUGUGUUGUGUGUUUAGGUUUGUGUGUGUGUGUGUGUGUGAGAGAGAGAGAGAGAGGUGGCAAUUUUCAGGAAUCAGAUCACUCUAAAUAGAGUAAAGGAUACUGUAAGAGAGUAAAGGAUAAAUAUCAUGUGAGCAAACUCAUCCACAUUACCUCCACAUGUCCAGCAUGGAAAAGAUCAAAUGCACCAUCUAUAUAAAUUAUGCGCGCAUCCGAUUCAGGCCCCUGCAGUCAGGCAUAAACCACUAAAAAGUGACAAAGUAGUAAUGCAAUGCCAGAGUGUGGCACUUAAAAUAAGUAUAUGUGAUAAUGUGACGUAGAAAUCAAGUUUUGUCUUUCCCCUUUCAUCUCCCUUGUUUAUAAAGAGACGAACUUCGGAAUCUAAGUGAGGGAUUGAAUACUAAAAGUUGCUCCACUUCAAACAACCAGCAGAGAAACAGUUACGGAGACAACAUUACCUUUCCAUUUGAAAACUGAACAAUUCUUCGAGAUGUCGGUAGGAAAUGAGACACACGGGUUCCACUUCCAGACCCACCAUCUUCAAACUUCUGGCUGUGACCGUGGCUGAAUUGUCUUUGCAAGGAAGAAUGCUGUUGGAUUUCACUAACAGAUCUCUCUCUUACACAGAGAAGCAUACGACCUAUACACAGCAUUAGCAAAUAACGAAGUUAGACUAACAAAAACAACUGUAAUUCUAUACAGAACAUAAGUAUUCAUUAUUUAAUCAGCUCCAAUGCUAGAAAUAGAACUAACCAACAAUGUCGGUGCUGGAAACGCCUUCUGUCCGCUUGAUCUGCUUGUAGCGACCGGCCUUCUUCGCAAGAGCAUAAGCAUCAGUACCAUCAGGAAGCACACAUGGGUCAUCUCCAUGAAUGAUAUAGUCAAUAUUGUAUUCAUCAAACAGCUUCUUCAUGAACUCUUCGGUUAUGGCAUAAGGUGCAUCUGGAAUCACCUCAUCAACCCAUUUCACAGCAUUAACCAUAAUCAUCCUAAUUAAGACAACUAAUUAGGAUUAACCACACGUUCACAUAAUGCCAUAACCCAAAAUUUCGAAUCUAAUCAGCUCCAUUAACACAAAAAGUCGGUACCUUUCGUUGAGAGGAGUCACAGGGGGGCCUUUAUUGACGAUGAUUUCGGCGUCGCUGACGACCCCAACGACCAAUUGGUCGCCCAGAGCGCGCGCCUGACGGAGGGCGUUGCAGUGGCCGUAGUGCAUCAUGUCGAAGCAGCCGUCCAUGUAAACCCGCACGGGUCUGUUCUUCUUCCUCCGCCAUCGAAGUCCCAGAGGAAGCUGAGGUCCGCCGCGUUCUUGUGAACCCAGAAGCGACACCCCGACGCCGACCCCCACCGCCACCACCGCCCCACCGGCGAGACACGUGGCCAGAAACCUCGCCCAGCUUCGCGCGUUCUCUGAGUUCCCAUCUUCCAAACCCAUCUCGCAGCUUCCGAAAUUUCCCAAAUGAAAUCAAACGAAAGUGAUAGCUUCAGUUAUUUGAUACAACCCAACAUUUCUUUUCGGGUAUCGAAUCGGGAAAUCGAAUAAAGUCGGGCACUUUCUGAUUUGCAAAUUGUUGGGUUUGGUUCGGGGUUCCCCUCACUUUUCUCUCCCACGCUCAAUUUUCUCACUUUUUCUUUUUCUUGUGCGGCGGGUGAUUCUUGGUCUGGGGCUGCAGUCCAACUCAAAGUUUUGAUUUUUAUUGGGUCAAACAGAUUCUGAGUUGGACUUUGUUAAGCCCAUUUUUCUUUCUUCAAAAUUAAGUUAGUUGCGCCAAAAAAAUUAAUUGAGUAAAUUUUGUAAGUUAUUAUUGAUUUUUGGCAUUUUAUUCAAAAUAGUUCGGAGAUUGAUAUAACUCUUCAUUUUGAUAGCAGUGGACUGAGUUUGUCCACCAUCAAUCAUUUUAGUCAUUCGUUAAAUAUCUUUGUUUCUAUAAGGACCAAAAUAAUAGGAAUAUCCUUAAUUUAGCAAACAAUAUAUCAAAAUGAUUUAACAAAAUUUGAGAGUAUUUUUAGUAUUUUGGUCUUAUUUAAAGGAGCAUUCUCACGGAAUGAUUAAAAGUCAUUUUGGCUAAAAAAAAAAACCUUGAAUUUAGUCUACUUUGUUGAUUGAUCCAUUCACCAAUUAUCAACAUGAAUUUAUUUGUAUAAAAUUUCAUUCACCAAUUAUCAACAUCAAUUUAUUUUUAUUAAAUUGCGAUAAAUGUUAUCACAGAUCAUCUUUUCAUCUCUUCUUCAAAUUCGUAAAGAUGUUUUAAAAAGACAAUGAAAAAAGUGAAAUAUAAAAAAGGAGAUGAGGAGUGGAGAUUUGAAAGAGGUAGAAUCCUACUCCAAUUUUGUAAACUUGCACUAAACCAGAUGAGUUGAAAUACAAUUAACUUAAAAGUUUAAAAAUAACUGCAUCGGUGAGUGGAGGGUGGUGGGCGGUGGGCCGGUGGCGUGGACUUUACUACUCUCUGUUUCGUUUAUUCCCUUUCAAAUUCCGUUAUUCCACCGCAACUCCCCUCUUCCUCUUCCUCUUCCUCUUCCUGCCGACGAACUCAGAAAGCUAGAGAGAGAGAGAGAGAGAGAGAGAGAGAGAGAGAGAGAGAGAUCGCCUUGGAUUGGUCUUGCUCACAAGCAACCAUGGCUUCUACGGAGGGUAUAGUACCAAUAACCAGGGCUUUUCUCGCGUCCUACUACGACACGUACCAAUUCCCCGCUCUCUCAAACGACGUCGCUCGCCUCUCCUCCGAGAUUCGCUCCUUCACCGCCGAUUUGCUCCACCACUCUCCGGCGGCUCAAGGUCAUCGUGAUUUCAAAACCCUCUUGAAAAUUUUACAUAUUUUUGCUAAAGUGAUCGUCUUUUUUCAAAUUUUUUUUCUUGCAAUUUAUAAAAUUUCAGUAUUUUGGAGAAUGAAUGAAUAAAACGGGUGUGGUUUUUAGGCGAGGAGAGAUUGUUAGUGAGUGAAUUGGAGAGUGAACCGCCGCACAAAGUCGACGAAAACAUGUGGAAGAAUCGAGAGCAUAUGGAGGAGAUACUGUUUUUGCUUGAAAAACCCCAUUGGCCUCAAACUGUAAGUCUAAGCUAAGUUAAUGUAAGCGGUUUUUGCUGCGAAAGAUGCUGCCUUUUCGUUGUUUUUUAAUUCGUGUUUGGUUGGGCAGCUUCGAGAGCAGUCGAGUCCUGAUGAUGCUGAACUUGCUACUGUGAUUGAUCGCCUCCGCCAGAAAUUUCAAACCAGUUUGAAGACACUGGAGUCUUUCCAAGCGAAAAUUCCGAACGUGUGUUCAACACGGGUUAGUUCCCUAUCGCUUGCCCGUGUUGUGUUUAGAUGAGGUAUUCGUGAAUCUGCUUUGAUCAUAAUGGAAUUGCUGAAUCUGCCUGCAGUUAUGACUUACAUUCCUCAGGAUUUUCGGGGGAGGCUCAUCAGACAACAGCGGGAGCGUUCAGAGAGGAAUAAGCAAGCAGAGGUUGAAGCUUUGGUUAGUUCUGGGGCAACUAUACGUGAACGUUAUGCUCUCUUGUGGAAUCAGCAAAUGGAGAGGUGAGACUCCUUUCGUUUGGCAGUCAGGUUAAAAGCAACAUGUGCUCCACCUUACGUUCUACUUGGCCGAAAAACUUUUCAGGAGGAGACUGUUAGCGCAGCUUGGUUCUGCAACUGGUGUCUACAAGACGCUUGUCAAGUACUUGGUUGGGGUUCCACAGGUAUGCUCCUCUACGCAGUUGCUUGCCACAUUAUUCGCUGGGUUUGCCUACUACUCCAUAUCCACUGCUGGGUUUCGACCCGAAUGUCCACUGCUAGUUUGUUCAUUGGCAUGGUUAAUGUUCUUAAUGUCGUGAUAAAUACUUAACAAUUUUACUUGCCUAUCUGCUUAGAUUUCUCGUUCUGCAUUUGUAUGUGUCAGUGAGGUGGUUAUUCAAUGGAGCUUCUAUUUAUAUUAUUUGUAGAUGAACUUCAAAAGUAUGUUUUAUUGACUCCAUGUGUUGGUAACUGUUCCUGCGCUUCCUUUUGGGUGCAGGUUCUACUUGAUUUUAUUUGCCAAAUAAAUGAUGAUGAUGGGUAAGAUUUUCGUGGUUGUAGUUUAAUUGCAUUUUCUAUGGUAAAUUAAUGUCUCAUACACUUAUUGUAUCCUUCAUUAAUAGGCCCAUGGAAGAGCAACGGCAACGUUAUGGACCCCCUUUAUACAGCCUUACAACUAUGGUGCUUCUUAUACGACUCCUUAUUUCGCUGUCUUGGGGGCGCUUUGAGAAUAGAAAAUUGUGAGAAUCUUUUUAUCUUUGGCUUUUAUGUUCAAGAUGUAGUUCUAUUUAUCUUUACGGUGACUCUUUUAUUUUAUGACUUGGGCAGAAAGAAGCCAGAGUUAGCUGUCUUGGAAGAAGCUGUUGAUGUCUACACCACUGAGUUUGAAAGGUUUAUUACGUUCAUCAGGUAUUACUCCUAUCAAUUUAUAUACCCCUUCCUUUCGCUAAGGUUUUGAUUUGACUAUCCUUUUGAUCCAUAAAAAGGUGUCGAGGUAAAAAAUUGCUAAUCAUGGUUGCUUGUGUAUUACACGCAUAAUAGAACUCGCACACUUGAAAACCCAAAAUAAAGCUGUGUUGUCUUAUUGGGCUGCAAGCCUGUUUUUCCUUUGUCCUGCUGCUAGGUUGUGCUAUAUCAAUUUACAUAUGCAUUUUUUUUUUCAGUGAGGUCUUUGCAAAUUCCCCCUUUUUUAUCCCAGCAGAGGUUGCGGGCGCAUUAGAAGGAAGGUGAGGCACUGAAGCUCUAAACUAUCUUUUGUAAUUUUGAAAUAAGAACUUUUGCUAAUUUCUUCUGUAUAGGAAUAAUGAUGAUUACCAAGAGACGAGUGUUCCAGCUGGGAAAACUCAUGAGGUCUGUUUAUAUAUCUUGUGAUACUUGUUCUUUUUCCUCAUGACUGAAGAUGCUUUGUGUUCACAUGCAUGUGUGUAAAUCUAUUGAUUUAUUUCUUAACAACGCUGGCCGUUUAACUAUUACCCCAGCCGGUAAUAAAUGUGGCUUCAUUACUCUUAUAGGUUUUAUUGGCUGUGGAUGCGAUAAAUUCAUAUAUUGCUUGGGAUUUCUCGCUUGUACAGGGGAAGAUAAACUUGGUAUUGUUCCUAAACGUUGUUGGUCAUAUGUUGUUUACUUAAAGUUUUUACAGUGUAAAUUCCAUAUUGAGAUUUAUGUUUGUUGGUCAGGAUAUUGGAUUUAGUGUCGAGUACACAAAUUCUUCUGGGGAAAAAUCUGUAAGUUUAACUAUGAUGUCUCCGUUGUUAAUUACUAUGUUUACUUUGGUCUCCUCCUCUUCAACCUUUGUAUUGUUGCUUCCUUUUUCACUUUCUCAUUUCUGUUUCUAACUUAAUUCUUUUCUUGUAAUUACUUUGGGGCAUUGCUGGUUUUACCACAGCUCAUUUUACCUUACCGACGCUACGAUUCUGACCAAGUAAGUUUUGCUAUUUCGGGCUUUUUGUGGUGUUAGAUCAUUUGUGAUAUUAAAUGUCCUGGCCUCAAUAUGAGUGUUCGUUUACAGGGAAACUUCUGCACAUGCGAGGCUGGAAUCUACAAACUGAUUUGGGACAAUUCCUAUUCAAAUUUUUUUAAGAAGGUGCGCAGACAUGUUUCGGUAUCUUCUAUAUAUUCUUAUUUUGUUCUACUACGCCAGUUUACGUAUUCUUGCUUGAAAACGACUGGGCCUUAGAUGCUACUUGAAAGCUUUACUUUGAAGUUUGAACCGUUAAGUUUUGUUGGAUCAUAACUCAUUAUCAACAGAAUUGGCGUCUUUUCCAUAUAUUCUGUUACAUUUAUAUUCAAUCAUCGUUUGUUACCGCAUAUAGUGGCUGCCAAGUCUCCAUCUCUACAAAAGUAGCUAAGGUAGUCAGAUGACUUUAAUAUGAACUUGAGAGAUCGAAAGUGAAAUCUGACCAUUUUUCAAUCUUUAUCAUGAACUGACGCUCCGAUUAGAAGAUGCGACUAUGGGACAGAGGUUCAGGGCCGAAGGGGUAGAGGAAGACCUAAGAAAACUUUGGAAGAGACUCUAAGAAAAGACUUAGAGUACUUGGAUUUAACGAAUGACAUGACACAGGACCGAGCACAAUGGCGUUCUAAGAUUCAUGUAGCCGAUCCCACUCAGUGACUUGGAUUUUCCAAGUCUCCAACCGAGAAGUUUUCCUCACUCAGGAAAUUAAGGGAACACUACCUCAACCUACAUGCUCCACUCACAAAGCUCCAACAAAAGAAAAUUCAAAGAACUUAGAGAAGAAGGCUUUGGUGUAUUUAACACAAUACGUUGAAAAUGAAGGAAAGCUUAUUUAUUGAUAUCCCCGAUAAGCUACAAAUAUGUACAUAUACAUGAGUCAAAAUAAACAAACAAGAGAGAGCCUUCACAAAGGUUGCUUAGGAGAAGUCGCAGCAGUCGGUAGAGCCCCAGAAAGAGAAGGCACCGGAGGGGGAUCAUUCGGAGCCUCAGUACUGGACAGAACCCUAGAAGGAGGCAUCAGAGGUUGAUCAUUUGGAGCUUCAUUACGCGGUACAGCCCCAGAAGACGAAGGCAAUAAAUGCCUUUGGAACAAACCCACAAAUCUCUGAUGAUCAAGUAAAACCUGACCAUCAGAUUCCUUCAUCUGGUCCAGCUUCCUCUUCAUGUUUGUAGCAUAGUCAUGUGCGAGACGGUGCAACUGUUUAUUCUCAUGCUUGAGCCCUCUAAUCUCCUGUUUGAGACUCAUCACUUCAGCCGCCAAUGAUUCAACUUGGCGGGUUCGAGCAAAUAGGCGUUGGGCCAUAUUAGACACAGAACCUGCACACUGAACACUGAGAGAGCCAGAGAAUCCUUAACAGCUAACUCAUCAGAUCGUUUGGAAAGUAGUCUGUUAUCUUUGGGAGUGAGAAGGUUCCUGGCCACCACCGCAGCGGUCAUAUCAUUCUUCAUAACGGAAUCCCCAACGGUAAGAGGACCAGUAGGGGAGACGAAGGAUGGGCGCCAUAUGUUGUCUGGAGAAGGCGGGGCUGCCUCUUCAACAAGGUUCAAGUCAAAACGACGGUCGGAGGGGCCAGACAUUUUCAAAGGUGUUGAAGAGAGAAGAGGUCGAACAAAUCAAGAUCUUAGAAGUGUAAGAAUGGAGCUUCUACUGGGGGAGAUUCAAGUGUGCUUUGGAACUUAAUGCCAGCCCCUAUAAAAAUCUGCACUCGACGGAGCUUCAGAAAUCGAAGAGGCGCCUGCUCAGAAAUCGAAGAGGCGUUUGCUUUCUCAAAAGCUGGGCUGCUCAGAGACCACGAGGGUCGAUCUCAGAAAUCGAAGAGGCGUCUGCUUUCUCAAAAGUUGGGCUGCUCAAAGACCACGAAGGCCGAUCUCAGAAAUCGAAGAGGCGCUUGCUUUCUCAAAAGUUGGGCUGCUCAGAGACCACGAGGGCCGAUCUCAGAAAUCGAAGAGGCACCUACUUUUCCAGCCUUGGCAGCACCUGUCACACGCACACUCAGCUUUGCGGAAAUUAUGGGCAUUCUGUCGAAGACUUCUGGUGAAGUAGAAAGCACAUGAGUCUUACUGUUCAAUCACCCACUUCCCACACGCAAUAGUAGCUCAUGUGUAUCACAGAUAACUUUGCCAAAGUUCUCUGCCAAAGUUGAGCACGUGAAGCUUGCAGCUUCCACUACAUCGCUCUGACCAAGACGGGUAAAAGAAUAGCAAAGAAACAGCACUAACAAAGUUUAGACACAUAAAUUUUGAAGGUCUAGCUACCCCAUAUUAUUACCCACAAGGGUAAAGGAACAGUAUCACUGCUGGAUAAUUGGAAAGUCCCUGUGUGUCAACCUCUGUGCUUCGUGGCAAGGUAGACUAGCAAACAUGCCCAACCUUUACUCACAUUCGAGAAAACACUCCCAACAAGAUUGCUUGCUCCAAAAUCGAAGAGGCACCGUCCUCCGAAUCUCGAGAGCCAGACUCCCAACAUGACUACUUUCUCAAAAAUCGAAGAGAGGGUAAAGGAACAGUACCAUUGCUGGAUAAUUGGAAAGUCCCUGUGUGUCAACCUCUGUGCUUCGUAGCAAGGUAGACUAGCAAACAUGCCCAACCUUUACUCACAUUCGAGAAAACACCCCCAACAAGAUUGCUUGCUCCAAAAUCGAAGAGGCACCGCCCUCCGAAUCUCGAGAGCCAGACUCCCAACAUGAUUACCUUCUCAAAAAUCGAAGAGACACCGCUCUCCGAAUCUCGAGAGCCAGACCCCCAGCAGGAUUGCUUUCUCAAAAAUCGAAGAGACAUCGUUCUCCGAAUCUCGAGAGCCAGAUCCCUGAUAGGAUUGCUUGUUCGAAAACCGAAGAGGCAACACUUUCCCAACUACAAGAGCCGGAUCUCCUUGGAUAAAGCUGUCUGUAAUCUUCACACGCAACAUCAUUUUUCCACAUACCACAGACCACUUUUUCAAAGUGCUCUGACAGGGUAAAGGAAUAGCAUUACUACUUGUUGUUAAGGAGACUCCUAUAUAUGUCAACCUCCAUCCCCAACGGACAGACAGACCUGCAAAAAUGCUCAACCCUUCCUCAUAUAUGAGAGGGCACUCUCAACGAAGCCUUUCGAAAUAUUCAGCUUUCUUUCCCCCCGAUAAUACCUCUGCAAACAAGUUAUACUAGAGCAAGAAUAUCUCAUAUCAUCAGGGUUAAAAGCAAGAGUAUCCCAUAUCAUGCUUUUUCCCUGUCUUUUCCUUUGGCCUUGUUCUUACCUGCAAGACAAGGAGAAAGAGAGCAAUCAGUCAGCACUUGGAAUCAAGCUUCCAGCCAGGAACUGACUGCCUGGAACUUACUUACCUGGCAUUGCUCUCGAGUACUCAUCUUCAACAUCUUAUGCUUCCAGGGAAGAUACCGCAUCUGCCUGAGGAACAGAUAGGGCAAGUGAGAAGGAUACAAGGAAGCAUGUGGAGACAAGCGUAACAGCACACGUGCCGAUACAUCCAUUACUCUGUCAAAGCAAAAGUAUCCCAUAUCAGUAGGGUCGAACGUACUCUAGAUUUGAUGGACUUGUUUUGACCCUCAAAUUCUUCAGUCGGCCUUAUACUCUGGAGGAAACCAGAAAACCCUCCAGCUCAGUUCAAGAAUAAGCCUGUGGAAAGUUACUUCUUCAAAAGCAAAAGUAUCCCAUAUCAUCUCUUCUCAUUUUUCUUCUCUUUAUCCUUCAUGCUGCCUGCAAGAUAGGGAGAAUGUGAACAAUCAGCCGGAGCUCUGAUUGCUUACCUUGUCUGUCACCUCUUUCAGCAAAUCCCCUAGCUCGGCAACUUGAGGGACUCCUACUACAUGGUUUGUAUCGCGCUUGACCAAGCCUGAAACUACAAGUAAGCUUCAAGUGAAAUUGAUACAUUACCUUGUGCAUCUCCACCAGUUAAAGAUACCACCCCUGGAUGGAGGAAGAGUACUUCCAGAGAAGAUGCCACAUCUACCUGUGAGACAGAUAAGGCAAGUCAAGACGAUACCACAUUCCGAUACUUAGAAGUUUCGUGAUUACGAGAUCAUUCUCCCACAAUAUUUCCUAAUGUCAUUUGUACUAAAUCAUUCACCUGUACUCACUAAAGGAAAGCUUGAACCUAUGUACUUGUGUAAACCCUUCACAAUUAAUGAGAACUCCUCUAUUCCGUGGACGUAGCCAAUCUGGGUGAACCACGUACAUCUUGUGUUUGCUUUCCUAUCUAUAUCCAUUUAUAUACUUAUCCACACUAAUGAUCGGAGCAAUCUAGCGAAGAUCACAAAAAGCGACCGUUUUCGCUACCUAGGAUAUAUCGUGCAAAGAGAACGGAGAAUUAGAGAGAUCUCAACCAUAGAAUAGAAGUUGGAUAGAUGAAGUGUAAGAGUGCAUCCGGCGGGUUGUGUAACCGUCGUAGGCCACUGAAGCUCAAGGGAAAAUUUUAUAGGACGGCAAUAAGGCCAGCGAUGUUGUAUGGCACAGAAUGUUGGGCGGUGAAGCAUCAACACGUACACACAAAAUGGGUGUGGCGGAGACGAGGAUGCUUCGUGGGAUGUGUGGGCACACAAGAAAUGAUAAGAUUGGAAAUGAGGAUAUUCGAGGUAAAGUAGGAGUGGCCGAAAUUGAAGGAAAGAUGAGAGAAAAUCGGUUCCGGUGAUUUGGACAUGUGCAAAGAAGGCCUACUGAUGCUCCGGUUCGAAGAUGUGACUACGGGACAGAGGUUCAGGGCCAAAGGGGUAGAGGAAGACCUAGGAAAACUUUGGAAGAGACUCUAAGAAAAGACUUAGAGUACUUGGUUCUAACGGAGGACAUGACACAAAACCGAGCGCAAUGGCGUUCUAGGAUUCAUAUAGCCGACCCCACUUAGUGGGAAAAGGCUUUGUUGUUGUUGUUGUUGUUGUUGUAUCAUGAACUGAUCGCAUUUGAAUUCUACAUGCAUCAUUGUUAUCUUUUGGUACCCGUUUUGAGCCGAUGUUUCUUGUUUGGUACGUCCAAUAUGGGAAUUUUCUUACAUUUUUAUCCUUUCAUCUUCUGGAACAUAGGUUCUGCGCUUCAAGGUAGAUUGCAUACCGCCAGUUGCAGAGUCGGUGCAAACUGCGAACGAGGUUGAAGAAUGAGUGUUGUUGCAUCUGCGCAGAUUGAAGAGUGGACGUUUUAACUUCAUGCCGCAUGGAUGCUCGCACUUUUCCGUCAGCAUUGAAUUGUAUCACGUUAUUCAUUUCGUUUUUUUUACGUUGCAUCAUCAGGGCAUGCGAUGGUUGGAUGGUGCACAGAAUGUUGUAUUAUAAAUCCUUCGUAUAUUACAUAUCUGCCCGACAGCCAGUUAUCGAAAAUUCAAGUCCAUCAGCAAAAUUCCGUGACCAUUUAUUUGUCGAAAAUUGUAACCGAAAAGUUUUGAAGUGCCGAAAAAGUCCGUUCCUUUCUUUGCGCAUCACCAUUUACAGAGAGGGGAGCAUUUGCUUAUCUGCAAAAGGGCAGAGGGAGUCCCACUUGAUUUCUUUAUUUCUGUAAAGGCCCGUUAAAAAUUUGGCUUUCAGUGACAACUAUUGUCUCAUGACUAAAGGUACAAAAUAUUGUGAUUAAAACAUUUAGUCACGAAAAAGAUCUAUAAAUGAGACUGAAGCCUCCGUGACUAAUUGAUUUGUCACCAAAACAACACAUUGACUAACUAAAAAGGUGUUAGACCAUCUCAAAUUUCUGGGUUAAAACUUAAAAAUUUUAAGCCAGAAAAUUUAGGUUUUAAACCUUUAUGGGUUAAAUUUUUAGCCCGCUAUUAUUAAAAAGUGAAUUUAGGAUAAUUUUUUUCUUAAAGUAUCUUUUUUUUUAAAUAUGUAGGCUAUCAUAAUUUAAUUUUAUGAACAUUUUAACCUUAAAAUAUUUAGAUUCCGAUAAAUAUUGAAAAAGGAGAAAUUAGGUUUAUAUCCUUCUUUUUGUUACUCCAUUGAUUAAAAUCCUUUUCAUUUUUAAUUUUUUAUCAAGGUCCUUGGUAUUAAUAACAUCAUUAAUUAUUUGAAUAAUAAAAUAUUUUUAUUUUUAAAUAUAUUCCUUUAGUGUUAAAAAUGUUACAAUUAGUAUGUUUAUAUUUAUGGCUAAAUUUUUUAUCAUGUAUUUUUAUUUUUAGUUUGUACCUAUUUUUAAUUUGCAAAUAUUUUUUUUUAAUUUGUACCUAUUUUCUUUUCAUUUUUAAUUUGUACUCAUAUAUUAGUUUCUUUUUGUGCCCAUAUUUUUUAAAGGUUUAUUUUUGUUUGUACCCAUGUGUAUACCGUCACGUGACAUUGUAUAUUUAAUCAAUGAUAGAAAAAUUACAUAUGGUAUAUUUAUGUUUUAUGCCUAAACUUUGUAUCAUAUAUUUAUAUUUUUAGUUUGUACCCACUUUUAAUUUGCAACAUUUUUUUUUAAAUUUGUAGUAUUUUCUUUUUAGUUUUAUUUUGUACCCAUGUAUUAAUUUCUUUUAGGGCCUAUAUUAUUUAAAAAUUCAUUUGUACUCAUAAUUUUUUAAUCUUUUAUAUGUACCCUAAUUUAUUUAUAAUGUACCCAUUCUUCUUUAUUAAUGUACAUAUGUGUAAUGAACCAAUUUUUUUGUAAAAUGUACCAAUUUUUUUAACACUAUGGAUACAUUCUUUUGCCAUUUAUUAUUUCUUAUUUUUACAUAGUUUUUAUCCAUUUAUUCAAUCAAAAUGUUUGAAUUCUUUUAUUGUAACUGUUUCUAAUAGUAUUAUUGUCACAGCCCGUCCCGGAAUUAUUAAUUCCGAGGACGUGGAAUUACAAAAAUGACCUCAAACGGGAUUAAGGUGCGUAAAUUCGACAUUAGUUUUACCUAAAGUUCCUAAACUAUUGUUAAUUAGAAUAUUAAUUAGUGUUAGGAACUUAAACUAGGACUUAGAUUUACAUUUCUAUGUAUUAAUUUUGUGUUUGGGGGUUUAGGUAGGGCCUCACACCCUAAUUCCCUCCCCAUUUCCCGUAUACUGUCACUCUCUCUCUUCCUCAGACACUCACUCUCUCUCUCUCCCUCUCGAACGUACAAGCAACCACCAAAACCACCCAAAACUUCUACCAUCGUCAGAUUUAAGGCUACCAUUGCAUUCCUGAGGACUCCACGAUCACGUAGGGUUUCUAAAGAUCCCAUAAUGUGUACUGUUCACGAGCUUUGAAUUGGUUGUGUUUUAGGCCAAACUAAGCUCACAAUGAGCUUUAGGAAGUCCCAAGGAAGCUCGGAGUGUGUCGUUUGGAAGUUUUGGACGUCGGAAUCACCUAGUUCGACGUUUGGCCGAUUUCUUGAAAUUUUGGAAGGUAUGAUCCCGUGGUUUUUAGUGCUUAAAACCAUUCCAUCGUGGUUCUACAUGUUAAGGGCUUCGAUUUGGUAUAAAAUUCGAGAAAAAUGGACGAAAAACGUGUGAGAAUAGUUAAUUUGAAAAAUUCCUAGUUUUCCGGUGACCGGAGUCCGGCGAGAGACCAUCAGAGAAGAAACAGGAAUAUUCUGUUAGUUUUAACGGAAUAUUCCUAACGGCGUUAACGGUACCGUUAGGUUUUAACGGAAUAUUCCUGACGGCGUUAACUGACGCCGUCAACAUGCAACGCACGUGGCCGCGCGUGGGGGCGCGUAGACCCGUGCCCAAUUCGGCGCGUGGGGGCGCGUGAGACGUAGAAAAAUUAUUUUAAAAAUAGUACGAUGCUCGUGAGGUUGUGUAGAUCGCGUUAGAGUAUUUAUUUGUCAAAAUUGAGCAUCGUAUGAGGAAUUAAUUGCCUAGUUUCGUUUAUGCGCUUUAAAUGACGUUUUAUAGUUGUUUCGCAUAUAGGUGAGACUUAUAGCGAGGACGAGCACAUCCAGGGGCGUCAAGGGGGUUACGACCCGGCAACAUACCAGUGAGUGGGCAUUGCUUUCUAUAUAUAUACCUAUAUACUCGAUUUCCCCAGAAAUCAACUUAAAUGAAAAGUAUGUUGAAAUGAGAUAUGAAAUAUAGUUUGGUUUGCCAUGCAUAGAAUUUCAUGAAUAUUAUGAAUUGUUAAAUGAUGCAUAUAUGUGAAAUGGUGCUGUGGACGCACAGGUGAGUAUCAGGUGAGUAUUAUUACUGUUAUGAUGAUGUUGAGAUAUGUUGAGCUCAUAAACUGCACCUUGGUAUUAGUGCUUAUAUUAUUCACCCUGCAUCGCACGCUCACCUUGGAUCCAAGUAGAUGCUAGUCGUACAGACCACUAGGGGUGGUUCCGACAUGCCAGUCGUAUAGACCAUUAGAAGGGUUCCGACUGGUAGGUGACCUUAGAUUAUGUGCACAGAUGAUUGAUGAGAGAAGCACUAGAGCGUAACAUUAACCAUUAAGUCGUAUAGACUACAUUAGAUAGUUCCGACUUAUGUGCAGUGUAAUGCCGUACAGGUCAUACUAGGUGACUCUGGCUAGAUGAGAUUUUGAGCUCUAGAUUCAGCCGUACAGGACCAUUGCAGGGUCUCCGGUUGAUUUAUCUUUCCACCUGAUUUAUGUUAAUGCAUUCAUACUAAACUGUUGAAUUUGAUAUGGCACAUUUUCUAUUGAAUCUGUUAUGAGAUUGAUGAUUGAGAUGGUUGAGAUAUAUAUGUUUAUAUACUAUUUUUCUGGGAAAGUAUACAGGUUUUCAAAGAGGGGUUAUAAAUGUGGAUUUAUGAAAUGUUUUGGAAAAGCUUUAUUUUCGCCCACUCACGUUUUCUGUUUUGCGCCCCUCCAGGUUCUAGUUGAGGCGUUGGUGGCCUACGAGGACUUCUUUGGCGUUCUGACAGACUAAAUAAAUGUAGGAUUCACCCGAGGGUGUUGUAAAUUAAUUAUGGUCCUACUUGACUGCACCUAGACGCUUAUGCUCUGUUUAUGUGUGUUUAGUACACUCUUAUGCACAUAGAAUACUAGGUUGUUAAUAACUGCAAUUAGUGGUUUUUGUUGGUUCGUAUUUUGUUAUAUUAUCGUUUCCGCCUGCACUUAUGGUUACGUCACGCUCACGUGAUGGCCAACACGUCCUAAUCUUCGGGUUAGGGUGUGUCAGUUUGGUAUCAGAGCAUAGGUUGCAGUCCUGUAUAACUAGUGAAUUCUUCUAUUGAUUUUUUUAUGUCUUCUGUCAGAAUUAUGCCGCCUCGUAGAGAGCCUCGCCGUGCUGCUGAGCCUAAUUUCCCCGAUAUAGCCCAAUUAGGGGAAGCAAUGGCUCAGGCUUUUAAGGCUAAUAUCCGUCCUCCUCAGAGAACGCUCGUAGAGACGAUGUAUAAUCUGAAAUUGGAUACCUUUGAGGGAAAUGAAGGUUAUGAGGGGGCAGAAAAGUGGUUGGAUCGGAUUGAGCAGACUUUUCAAGUAAUGCGGAGUCAAGGGAACCUACCUGAGAAUAGAUGGGUCGAGACUACCAUUUGGUUUUUAAGCCGAGAGGUUGCAGUUUGGUGGAGUAAUGAAACUAAUUUUCUGGCACCUGAGAUGGUGCAAGAUUGGGGCACAUUCAAGGGAAUAUUUAAGAAAAGAUUUGUUCCUCCAGAGUACAUUGAUAGUAAGAAGCAGGAGUUCACCCAAUUGAAGCAAAGGAAGAUGUCGGCGGGUGAAUACUACAGGAAGUUUACAGAUUUGUCUCGUUAUGAUCCGGACGUGGCUGCUAAUCCAGUGGAAAUGCUUCGUCGAUUUAAGUUGGGAUCAAAGAAGAGAUGGCGAACAUUUGCUAGCGCACUUCCUUGUGCUAAUUAUCAUGAGUUUUCUGAAAUUAUGGUUCGGAUGGAGGAGUCCGAGAAAUUUCCUAGUGAUAGUGAUGAAGAGGAAGAUAAGAAUGGUGGCAACCAGAGGAAUGACGGCAAGGGUAAAGGUAUCUCCUUUCAAGGACCCCGUAAGACGCAGAAUUUCAAGAAAAGUGGAAUGAGUUCGAGUUCUUCCAGUGGUGGAUUUAGUGCCACAGGUCCGAGGAAAGGAGGUGGUAGGUUUGGUAAUGGACCUAGAUUUCCUAGUCAGAGAAGUUUUGUUGGUACUGGUGGUUCUGGUCCUCCGUUAUGUCGCCGUUGUAAUUUCCGACAUCAUAGGGAAUGUAGGAGAAGCAGUGGUGCAUGCUUUACAUGUGGUCAGGCAGGACAUCGAGCUGCACAGUGUCCCCAGAGUCAGCAGAGGCCCCAGCAGCCUGUUAUGCCAGCUCCAGUACCGACUCAGCAGAACUUAAAUUCAGGCAGUUAUGGCCAGUUUGGUCGUGGUGGUGCUUAUCACUAUCAGGGUGAUGCUGCUCCUUAUGCUCCGGGACAGUAUCAAUAUUCCCAGGAUCCUUAUUUUCAGAGUGGAUAUUCUCAGGAUCAGGGAGGUUAUACUUCAUAUCCGUCUAUGCCAGCUAGCGGAUUUCAGUGGUAUCAGGGGGGUCGGCCCUAACAGAGAGGGGUUUCUGCUAGUAGUGCAGGGCCGUCUAGGCAGCCUGCCCAGGCAGGUCAAGGACGUACUCAUCAGGGACGAGGUAAUCAGAGUGGCAGAGGUCGUGGAGGACGACAACCAGCUCAGGGACGUGUUAACCACAUUUCGCUGCAAGAUGCUCAGAACCAUCCAGACUUGAUUAUGGGUACGUUGAAUGUUCUUGGUCAUUUUGCUAGAGUUUUGAUUGAUUGUGGUGCUACGCACUCUGUGAUUUCUCAUACCUUUGCUCAAAUGACACAACCUCAUCCUUCACCUCUAGGGUUUGAUUUAGAGUUUGCUAUGCCUAGAGGGAAUAAAUGUUAUGUUGAUAGUUUUUAUCCUGGGUGUCCAGUGAUGGUAGAUAAUGUAGUUAUGCCUGCUAAUCUUAUCCCGUUAGACAUCGUGAAUUUUGAUGUGAUUUUAGGGGUGGAUUGGUUGCAUUAUAAUCGCGCCCAUAUAGAUUGUUACGGGAAAUCAGUUACUUUUCUUCGUCCUGGACUACCCGAGGUUACUUUUGUGGGUGAAAGAAGUGGGGUGAGGCAUGGUGUUAUUUCCUUCAUAAGGGCAAAGAAGUUGUUAUUCAAGGGUUGUCAGGGAUACUUAGCACAUGUGGUUUUGAAUGAUGUUGCUCCCAGUAGUGUGGAGGAAGUCGGAGUAGUCAGACACUAUCCUGAUGUGUUUCCAGAUGAUUUGCCUGGAUUGCCCCCAGAUAGAUGUGGAGUUUUCGAUUGAUUUGCUUCCAGGUACAAACCCUAUCUCCUUGACUCCUUAUAGAAUGGCACCAGCGGAAUUAAGAGAGUUGAAAAUUCAAUUGCAAGAAUUAAUUGAUAAAAGUUUCAUUCAGCCUAGUUCUUCACCUUGGGGAGCUCCGGUGUUGUUUGUGAGAAAGAAUGAUGGAACUUUGAGAUUGUGUAUUGAUUACAGGCAAUUGAAUCGGGUAACGAUUAAAAACCGUUAUCCCUUACCUCGUAUAGAUGAUUUGUUUGAUCAGCUCAAAGGUGCCUGUGUGUUUUCUAAGAUCGAUUUGAGAUCUGGGUAUUAUCAAUUAAAGAUUAAAGAUGAGGAUGUUCAUAAAACGGUUUUCAGGACUCGUUAUGGGCAUUAUGAGUUUUUGGUUAUGCCAUUUGGAUUGACUAAUGCCCCUGCAGCUUUCAUGAGAUUGAUGAAUGAAGUAUUCCAGGAAUAUCUCGACAGGUUUGUUAUUGUUUUUAUUGAUGAUAUUCUGGUAUACUCUAAGUCGAAAUCAGACCAUAUUCGACAUCUUAACUUGGUGUUAAGGAAAUUGAGGGAACACCGAUUAUAUGCCAAGUUUAGUAAAUGUCAGUUUUAGCUGAAUCAAGUGGCAUUUUUGGGACAUGUGGUAUCAGCCCAAGGAAUUCAAGUGGAUCCUCAAAAAAUAGCAGCAGUGGAAAGUUGGGAACAACCUCGAACCGUCACUGAGGUGCGGAGUUUUCUUGGCUUGGCAGGUUAUUAUCGACAGUUUGUUCAAGACUUUUCUAUGAUUGCCUUGCCAUUAACGAAGUUAACCAGGAAGGAUGUUAAGUUUGAGUGGGAUGAUAGUUGUGUGAGCAAAGUUUCCAGCAGUUGAAAUAUUGCCUUACUCAUGCAUCGGUGUUAAUGUUUCCUGAUGAUAAUGGUAACUUCGAGAUCUACAGUGAUGCUUCUUUGAAUGGUUUGGGUUGUGUUUUGAUGCAGCAUAGUAGAGUGAUUGCCUAUGCUUCUAGGCAGUUGAAGACUCAUGAAAGGAACUAUCAUACUUACGAUCUUGAGUUGGCAGCUAUUGUGUUUGCUUUGAAGAUUUGGAGACAUUAUCUCUAUGGCGAGAAAUGUAAGAUCUUUACAGAUCAUAAAAGUCUUCAGUACCUUUUCACGCAGCAUGAUCUUAAUCUUCGUCAGAGAAGAUGGUUAGAAUUGUUAAGUGAUUAUGAUUGCACGAUUGAGUACCAUCCGGGUCGUGCAAAUGUGGUAGCUGAUGCUCUGAGUAGGAAACCUCAAGGGAGACUUAAUGCUUUGUAUGCCAGCCGUGUUCCUCUUUUUGCAGAGUUGAGAUCUACUGGAGUAAAGUUAGAAUUGGAAGAGCAAAGUGAAGCUUUUCUUGCCAAUUUUCAAGUCAAGCCAAUUUUAAUUGAUCGGGUGCUUGCAGCUCAAUUGUUGGAUGAAGAAAUCCAAGAGUUGGUCAGUUUAAGAAAGAAAGGGAAGAAGAAAUAUCUCAGGAUCCGAGGAUCAGAUGGUAUGCUUAUGAAAGAGAACAGGAUGUAUGUGCCAAAUAAUGAGGGACUAAAGAAAGAAAUUUUGGAUGAAGCACAUUGUUCGGCUUAUGCUAUGCACCCAAGAGGAACUAAAAUGUAUCAUACCAUUCGACCAUUUUACUAUUGGCCGGGUAUGAAGAGGGAAAUUGCAGAGUAUGUAAGUAGGUGUAUUGUUUGCCAGCAGGUUAAGGCUGAAAGAAAGAAGCCGUUUGGAAGAUUGCAACCACUCCCCGUUCCCCAGUGGAAAUGGGAGAAUAUAACGAUGGAUUUUGUGUAUAAGCUGCCUCGUACACAAAAUGGUUUUGAUUGCAUUUGGGUGGUUGUAGAUCGACUUACCAAAUCAGCACAUUUUAUUCCAAUAAGGGAGAAGUGCCCUUUAAGUAAGCUGGCUAAGUUAUUCAUAUCGAAGGUUGUAAAGUAUCAUGGUGUCCCAGUGAAUAUCAUUUCUGAUCAAGAUCCAAGGUUUACUUCUAAGUUUUGGAUAGCUUUUCAAGAAGCUUUGGGCACUAGAUUGCUUUACAGUACAGCUUAUCACCCACAGACAGAUGGUCAGUCAGAGAGGACUAUUCAGACGCUCGAGGAUAUGUUGAGAUCCUAUGUGAUGCAAUUUGGUGAUUCUUGGCAUGAUCGCUUGGAUUUGAUGGAGUUUGCCUACAAUAAUAGUUUUCAUUCGAGUAUUGGAAUGUCUCCAUUUGAAGCGCUUUAUGGUAAAGCUUGUCGUACGCCAUUAUGUUGGUCAGAGGUCGGUGAAAGAAUACUUGAGGGCCCAGAGAUUAUGGAUGAGACUACUCAGAAUAUUCAGGUAAUUAAGUCUAACCUGAAAGUGGCCCAGGAUAGGCAAAAGAGCCUAGCGGAUCGACAUACGACGGAUAAAAUGUAUAAUGUGGGCGACUAUGUAUUUAUGAAAUUAUCGCCUUGGAGAGGGGUGGUUCGAUUUGGAAAGAAAGGAAAGCUAAGUCCCAGGUACAUUGGACCUUAUGAGAUCACUGAGAGGAUUGGUGAAGUUGCCUAUAGGUUGGAGCUGCCUCCAGAGUUGUCUAAGGUACAUAAUGUGUUCCAUGUCUCGAUGCUUCAGCAUUAUGUUUCAGAUCCUUCACAUGUGAUUCCUACUCAACCUUUGGAAAUUAAUCCGGAUUUGACGUAUGACGAGGAACCAGUGACUAUACUGGAUUGGAAAGAUAAGGCUCUAAGGAAUAAGACAGUGAGCUUGGUAAAAGUAUUGUGGAGGAACAAUGCAGCGGAAGAAGCUACAUGGGAGACAGAAGAACGGAUGAGAGAUAUGUAUCCGAGGCUAUUUUAUGAGUAUUGAUGGUUUGGUUGGUGGCUGGAAUUUUGGGGACGAAAUUCUAUAAGGAGGGGAGAUUGUCACAGCCCGUCCCAAAAUUAUUAAUUCCGAGGACGCGGAAUUACAAAAAUGACCUUAAACGGGAUUAAGGUGCGUAAAUUCGACAUUAGUUUUACCUAAAGUUCCUAAACUAUUGUUAAUUAGAAUAUUAAUUAGUGUUAGGAACUUAAACUAGGACUUAGAUUUACAUUUCUAUAUAUUAAUUUUGUGUUUGGGGGUUUAGGUAGGGCCUCACACCCUAAUUCCCUCCCCAUUUCCCGUAUACUGUCACUCUCUCUUCCUCAGACACUCACUCUCUCUCUCUCCCUCUCGAACGUACGAGCAACCACCAAAACCACCCAAAACUUCUACCAUCGUCAGAUUUAAGGCUACCAUUGCAUUCCUGAGGACUCCACGAUCACGUAGGUACCAAUUUAAGGUGAGUUUUACUUCGAAAACCCUAGUUUCUAAAGAUCCCGUAAAUGUGUACUGUUCACGAGCUUUGAAUUGGUUGUGUUUUAGGCCAAACUAAGCUCAUAGUGAGCUUUAGGAAGUCCCAAGGAAGCUCGGAGUGUGUCGUUUGGAAGUUUUGGACGUCGGAAUCACCUAGUUCGACGUUUGGCCGAUUUCUUGAAAUUUUGGAAGGUAUGAUCCCGUGGUUUUUAGUGCUUAAAACCAUUCCAUCGUGGUUCUACAUGUUAAGGGCUUCGAUUUGGUAUAAAAUUCGAGAAAAAUGGACGAAAAACGAGUGAGAAUAGUUAAUUUGAAAACUUCCCAGUUUUCCGGUGACCGGAGUCCGGCGAGAGACCAUCGGAGAAGAAACAGGAAUAUUCUGUUAGUUUUAAUGGAAUAUUCCUAACGGCGUUAACGGUACCGUUAGGUUUUAACGGAAUACUCCCGGAAUAUUCCUGACGGCGUUAACUGACGGCGUCAACAUGCAACGCACGUGGCCGCACGUGGGGGCGCGUAGACCCGUGCCCAAUUCGGCGCGUGAGACGUAGAAAAAUUAUUUUAAAAAUAGUACGAUGCUCGUGAGGUUGUGUAGAUCGCGUUAGAGUAUUUAUUUGUCAAAAUUGAGCAUCGUAUGAGGAAUUAAUUGCCUAGUUUCGUUUAUGCGCUUUAAAUGACGUUUUAUAGUUGUUUCGCAUAUAGGUGAGACUUAUAGGGAGGACGAGCACAUCCAGGGGCGUCAAGGGGGUUACGACCCGGCAACAUACCAGUGAGUGGGCAUUGCUUUCUAUAUAUAUACCUAUAUACUCGAUUUCCCCAGAAAUCAACUUAAAUGAAAAGUAUGUUGAAAUGAGAUAUGAAAUAUAGUUUGGUUUGCCAUGCAUAGAAUUUCAUGAAUAUUAUGAAUUGUUGUAUGAUGCAUAUAUGUGAAAUGGUGCUGUGGACGCACAGGUGAGUAUCAGGUGAGUAUUAUUACUGUUAUGAUGAUGUUGAGAUAUGUUGAGCUCAUAAACUGCACCUUGGUAUUAGUGCUUAUAUUAUUCACCCUGCAUCGCACGCUCACCUUGGAUCCAAGUAGAUGCUAGUCGUACAGACCACUAGGGGUGGUUCCGACAUGCCAGUCGUAUAAACCAUUAGAAGGGUUCCGACUGGUAGGUGACCUUAGAUUAUGUGCACAGAUGAUUGAUGAGAGAAGCACUAGAACGUAACAUUAACCAUUAAGUCGUAUAGACUACAUUAGGUAGUUCCGACUUAUGUGCAGUGUAGUGCCGUACAAGUCAUACUAGGUGACUCUGGCUAGAUGAGAUUUUGAGCUCUAGAUUCAGCCGUACAGGACCAUUGCAGGGUCUCCGGUUGAUUUAUCUUUCCACCUGAUUUAUGUUAAUGCAUUCAUACUAAACUGUUGAAUUUGAUAUGGCACAUUUUCUAUUGAAUCUGUUAUGAGAUUGAUGAUUGAGAUGGUUGAGAUAUAUAUGUUUAUAUACUAUUUUUCUGGGAAAGUAUACAGGUUUUCAAAGAGGGGUUAUAAAUGUGGAUUAUGAAAUGUUUUGGAAAAGCUUUAUUUUCGCCCACUCACGUUUUCUGUUUUGCGCCCCUCCAGGUUCUAGUUGAGGCGUUGGUGGCCUACGAGGACUUCUUCGGCGUUCUGACAGACUAAAUAAAUGUAGGAUUCACCCGAGGGUGUUGUAAAUUAAUUAUGGUCCUACUUGACUGCACCUAGACGCUUAUGCUCUGUUUAUGUGUGUUUAGUACACUCUUAUGCACAUAGAAUACUAGGUUGUUAAUAACUGCAAUUAGUGGUUUUUGUUGGUUCGUAUUUUGUUAUAUUAUCGUUUCCGCCUGCAUUUAUGGUUACGUCACACUCACGUGACGGCCAGCACGUCCUAAUCUUCGGGUUAGGGUGUGUCAAUUAUAAUGAGGGAUUUUAAAUUUAUAGGAUUAUAAAUCUCAUAAAAUAUCAAACAAUUAAUGUCAAAACUAUAAAAAUAUAAAUAUUAAUAGUAAUAUAAUGAGGUGUACAAAGUCAAGGGACUUUGAUCAAACUUUGAAUACCAUUAAGGUUUUAAUCAAAGAAUGUUAAGGAUUAGGGACCGCAUUGGUAACAACGUCCUUAUAAUAACUAAUAAGUAUUUAGUCACAAGCAAUCUUCAUGACUAAAAAUCUUAAUAACAACAACCUUAUAUAACGAAAGCUCUAUUAGUCACAAGAAAACUAAUGAUUAAAAACAAAUUUAUCACUCACACAUGUUUUUCAUGACUAAUAUAUUUAGAAAUAUCAUCAACGAACGACAGAGAACUAACAUCAAGCUAAUCUCAACAAAGCUGGUUCGUACAUAUAGGAGCUUCCAAUUCAGUUCUCAAAUGUCAAAUAUGGAGAAAAGCUUCAACAACAAUCUCUAAAGCUGCCGCACUUGAGUCAGAGAGAGAGCUCAGGAGCUGCUGCUGCCGUAUUGCUGCUGUAUUCUUAAGUUUGGAGAUGCAUUAACUAAACACUGAAAAAUAUUCACCCACCAUUAGUCUUCAAAGUGAAUCAUACUUGUAGUUGAGGUAGUAAACUACCCUACCCAGGCAUGCAAAUUAAUUAAGAAGAAUUAAAUAUUUGAAUUAGAAGAUCAAAUAUAUAUCCGUGUAUCUGUAACAAGCAAUACUUUCAAAAAAAAAUUCCCCCGGAAAUAAAGAAUAAAAAAAAUAAAGACAACUGUGGAACAAGAAAAACCAAACAAAAAAUAAGCAGUGAAACAAACCUUUGUGUAUGUACAUAGGUGGACAGUGAGAAUCUCCCCUUGAGGAAAUCAUGGAGAUAUUAUAGUGGAAUCAGUCAAAUGUAAUUUUCCUUCCAACACAUCUCUCUUUCAAUAAUAUUGCAAAAAUACAUUAUAUAAUUUGCGUGGAUCAGUGUAUGGCCACAUCAUAGAUCAAUCAAAUCGAACACGAAAGUGAUCUUAUCAAAACUUAUAUGAGAGAGAGAGAGAGAUAGAGAUGGGACUGGAGUUAUUGAAAGGGCAUGGCAUAUCAUGGCAUGCAUGACUCUGUGUGCUUGCUAGCUUUUUGUAGAUGAAUUAUGAAUAUCUUUGCUAAGAAGAACAGCCAGCGGCAAGUUUUGGCCUAUGCUUUGAACCACAUUCUAAAUUUGAUGUAAAAUUGAAAUGGAUGCCUUUGUUGUGUUGUUAAUGUUCGAAUGUUUGGUACAAACUUAAUUUGUGUCUUUUUUCUAUCAACUGCAGAUUAUCGCCUUCUGCAUCAAUAUUUUUAACCUAUAUAAUGUGUGCAAUGCUUUAUACAUCAAUAUCAUCCAUGUGACCUGCCUCAGUUUUUGAUCAAUCGCUUUAACAAUAUUAACAUGACAAUGUGACAUUGCCUGUGCUGCCCAUGCCACACCGCUCCCUUUCAUGAAUUUUGAUCCAUCUUUCCCCACGUGACGAAAGAGAUAUAUACAAAAUUGUGUACAAUCCGUUAUAUGCAAGAGUUAUAUUCUCUUCACAUACCAAACAAUAUUAUAACACGAGUAAUCGAUCUACUACAUCAUGGAAAGUUAACUUAACUAAUCUAAAUUGUAAGGAAUGAAAUUCGAACUCACAUGCAUCAGCUCUAGUCAGUAUAACAACGCAUACGGAACAAGAACUAAUGGAAGCGAGAUUGGGUAGCUGAAACAUCAAAUAUUCCAGCUCUCCAUUAUGUUUCUAGGGUUUGAAUGGAAGUCUUCAUUGGUCAACAUGUUACUUUUAGAGGAGGGUGUAUGCAGCCAAACGUGUCUUUUCAAAGGCCAAGAGUUAUUUGAACAAAAAAAGAGAGUUAUAAUUGGGUAAUUAUUGGUAUCAAAAGCUGGACGAGAUGUUUGAUGUGGUUUAAGUUACAGCGUUCAUACACAAAAGCUGAAUGCAUGGAAGUCUUAGUACACUUGUGGGGUAAAGAUUAGGGCCCAUCUCGUUUUUGUUGUCACCUUUGCAAUUAUACGUAGAAAUUAUAUCAAAAUAAAUCACUACACCUUUCACUUCUUAAUGUAAUCAAUUUUCAUAACGACAAGAUAAAUUAAACACACAAAAUUAACACACAGAGAAUGUGUUACUUUUGUACGGCCAAAUAAUAACAUUUUUUAAUAUGUAAUGUGUAAUUUAGCUAGUUGCAUGGCAUAUUAUCGUACUAGCACCGCACUAAAGAAAUAGGAUACUCGUUGCACACAGUAACCUGUACUGUAGUCUUUUCUAAAAAGAUUGUGAAUCAAAAUCUUGCUAUAAUAAAUUAGUUCUGAGUUUAGUGAUAUUUAUCCAAGCUUAACUCUACCAAAUCAUAAUCCCUACAUUGGUUGCGGUCUGGGGAUUGAGUUUGUGACUAGGGGUUCGAACUAUUUGAGAGGUGAAGAUGCUAAGACCAUCUCCAACCGAGAGUCCAGAGGGUCGAAAAUGGUCCGAAAACCGUCUCCAACCAAGAGUCAAGGCAAAGGGCUCGUGGACUCCACUAGACAAAAAAUGCCAAAGGGCCAAUCAACCAGCCCCGGCCUGGGCCAGGAUUCAAAAAACCAACAACUAGCCGUUAUUUUUAUUUUUUUUUAUUUUAUUUUUUUACAAAUUUUUUAAAAUUCUAUUUUUUCUUAUAUAACUUCUUAAGCCAUUAUACAACAUUAAAUUAAAUUAAACAAUAUGAAACAACAUUAAAUGACAUUAACCAACAUAAAAAUUAUACAACAUAAAAAAAACAUUUAAUAACAUGAAAUUUAAACAACAUUUUUAAAAACAUUUAACAACAUAAAACUUAAACGCCUACUUCAUGCUUCUUUUGGCCCAAAGAUGUGCAACAAGAUCUUGUUAUAGGUACUUGUUUGUGGCACGGGAACGUAUCAUUCUAUAGCACCUCAUGUACUUAUUUAUAGAAAGGUUUUUUAGCCAAAAUGGUCUCUAAGAUUGCAUAACACAUCACUUUGGUUCCUGAGAUUGAAAAUCAAUAGAAAUGGUUCUUGAGAGUGUCCACCAUCCAUUAUUUUGGUCUUUUUUUUUAAAACUCUGUUAAGUGUCCAAGAGCUCUUGGCCGGAAGUUUGAGCAAUUUUCAAAGCUUCGACCCAUAAUAUAUCAAAAUAAAGAUAGAAAAGUGUAGAUAAAGAUUAUACCUAUUUGAAAGCCCAAUGGUUGGCAGAGAUGGCCAGAAAAUAGCCUGAAAGGUGAUUAGUCUACUGGAAACUGGGUAAACUUUAAAUGUUCAUAACUUCUUUAAUACUCAACGAAAUCAAGUAAUUCAAAAACGAAAAUCAUACUUUUCGAUGAGAUGAAGAGAAUGGUACCCUUCUCGGUGACUAACUCACCUUAGUUUGGCCGGAAAAUGGCUCGAAAGUGGCUAACUUGAUAACCAAGACAGCCAUUUUCGAACCAUUUUUCAGUCAAAGCAUGGCGAGUUAGCCUUCAAGAAAGGUAUUCUCUUCAUCUCGUCGAGAAGUAUGAUUUUCAUUUUUGAAUCACUUGAUUUCGUUGAGUAUUGAAGAAGUUAUGAACUUAAACGCCUACUACAUGCUUCUUUUGGCCCAAAGAUGUGCAACAAGAUCACGUUGUAGGUACUUACUUGUGGCACGGGAACUUAUCAUCCUAUAGCGCCUCAUAUACUCAUUUAUAGAAAUACUACCAGUUCUUGGAUUAAAAGGCAAAUUAGGCCUAUCGUAUAUUUUUUCACGAGCCCAUCUUGACCUAUUUGGAUCCUCUUGGUCAUCAUCAAACUCUCCAUCCAUAUACCCAUCUCACUCAUCCUCCACAAUCAUGUUGUGUAAUAUGAUGUGAUAGGAGCAUAUUUAUGCAACUUAGUUAGCUUGUUUCUUGGCAUUUACUUAGUUUAAUUCUAGUUAUUUUAGUACUUUAAGCUAUUUUCGUGUGUUUGUAGGUUCAAAUAACAAAGUUAGCAACAAAGUGCUAUUUGGAGCAUUUUGGAGCAUUUUUGGGCCAAGAUUGGAUAGUGCAAGCAUGGAGACAUGAGGAUGGACGUUUUUGAAUAUUUGAAGGCUAGAAAUCAGCAUGUAUGUGUGCAAGUGUGUUGACCUACAACUACAAACAUCCAUCCACUACACCCAUUACAUUCACUCAUUACCACAACACUCACCCACUACACCCAUUACAUCCACUCAUUACCAAACAUCCAUCCACUACACUCAUUACAUCCACUCAUUACCAAACACUCACCACUACACCCAUUACAUCCACUCAUUACCAAACAUUCACCCACUACACCCAUUACAUCCACUCAUUACCACAACAUACACCACUACCACCUUAAUUAGAUGGUGAUCCUCUCCCUAGCCUAUAAAUACAUCCACCCUUCACCAUAACAAGGGAGAAAAAAAUCCAUCCAAAACACACACACAUCAUCUACACAAUUCUCCACUCUUUGCCGCAUUCAAUACAACCUUCAUCCAAACACAUCCAUUCAUCUUCACAUUCAUUCCUCCAUACAAACAAACCUUCAACCACUUACCAACACCUUGUGCCGUAGCAAAGGAAGGGAAGGAAAUUGCUUGGACGUGCUUGCUGUCCAACUUGGAUCGUUAGAGCGUUUAGGUAUUUUCUUUCUUUUGUUUCCAAUGUUUAAAUUCAUUUUCUUUUGUUUUGUUGUGAAUAUGAGUGGCUAAACCCCUCUUGGCUAGGGGUGAUUUCAAAGCCAUGAUUAUGUGUGCAAUAUAAUUUGAUAAAUUCCAGUUAUGAACUCUUGAAUCGUGAAUGCAAUUGGCUUAACUAUUUGAUUGAUAACUUAUUUGUAUUUGUUAAUUAAGGUUCAACACUUAAUUGGCAUGCAUAAAUCCGUUGCUAGAAUAUAAGGAAGUUUCACAUAAUCGUUACAAACUUAUAUUCACAUGUAGUGAAUGUCGUUUAUAAACGAUCGCGUUAAGUUCAAUUCCUAGCAUGAGUGACAUGAUGUCAUAGUUGCAAGUGCUUUGUCAAUGCUUAUGAUUUUCAUUAAACUUAAUGAUCUUUUAUUGUAUCUCUAUUAUGAUGUCAUGUAGGGAACUUUAGAAGAAUGUUUUGGGUUGUCGAAUGAUGUCAUCCAAUCCAAUAAAAUAAGGAAAAUCUGAGAGUUAACUAGUGAUGUCAUGGUUAAUUUGGAGCAUUGUCGUUCAUAAUUCAAUGAAGUAGUAACUGGAAAUCGAGUUAUUUGCAUACAUGUCAUGUGUGGAGAAAAAGUCUCUAGCUAUCCCAUCCAUCAUCUUAUUUCUCAAAUUUGUUUUACAAUCUGUCUAGUUUUUCAUACUUGUUUGUUUGUUUGAACUUCGUCCAAAACUCAAUCCCCAUUUACUUUAGUGUGUCUAAUUAGUUAGAAUCUGUUUUAAUUUGUGUUUUUAAAUGUUUUGAUUCAAGUAAAAGUCAAUUUUCGUCCAAAGUCAUUCCUAGUGUCUAGUUUAAGUUUAUUUAGUUGUUUUAAGCUGUUUUGAGUAUUUUAAGUUUGCUUUGAGUCUUGUUAAGUAAUUUUAAGUUUAGUUUUAUGUUUUUGAGUCAGUUUAGAGGUUAUUAGCAAGCCCUCCUAAUCCCCGGUCCAGAACGAUCCCUACUUACAUUCUUUACUACAAUUGAUAAAAGAGGGUUAAAUUUGUGUGGUAAGAUAAUUUUCGCACCAAGUUUUUGGCGCCGUUGCCGGGGAUUAGCAACUUUGCUAAUCCCCCGUUGUUUCUUUUUCAUGUCUUUUGUUUUUAGUUACUAACUUUGUUUCUGUUUGUGUUUUUUUUUCUUUUGUUUUACUUUUGAUAUUUGAUUUAAUUUUGUUUCCUUGAUUUCAAGUACUAGAGAAGUAAGACAUGGAUUUUGCUACCAUUCAAGCUUAAUUGGCGAAACUUACUUCUCAAUUGUUACAAUAUCCCGAAAGGACACAAUGCAAAGUGUCCCUACAUAUGGUGUGUCCUAUGGGCAAGGAUAUCCAACUCAUCAAUGUUCUCAAUUCGCUGCGAAUGAAGAUGCUUGGGGUUAUCAAGGCCAUAGCCAAUCAUGGGACAACAUGUUUUCCAACGCUUACAAUUCGGAUUGGAGAGAUUAUUCAGAUUACAUGUGGGGAGAACCUCAACAAUUCCAACAAGAUGGAUAUUGGCAGCAAGAAGAGGAGUUCUAUUCAAGACCUAUGCAGCCACCACAACCUCCUCCACAACAAUUCCAAUCAAAUUCAAGUAUGCCUAUGAGUUAUGAUGAAAUUCUUGAUGUACUAACCUCGUUGACGCAGGGCUCACAACAAGAAGAAUAUUUGCUGCCAUCGGAUGAGUUCUAUCACUGGGCAUAUGAACCAUCACAGCCACCACAACAAUCUGCCCAAUUCAAUUCAGGUACGUCUUUGGAUAAUGAUAUAUUUAAUAAGUUACUCACCUCUUUGAACCAGGAAGUAGAAAAUGGAAACAAAGAGAUGCAAAAUCAAGCCAAGAAGACGGGUGAAUUAGAGAAGCAAAUUGGGCAGAUUAUGGAGUUCAUGGCACAAAUUCAAGAGCAAAGUGAACUCUCCAACUCAACUAUUGAAAAUUUGAAGGAAGAUUUUGAAAUCCAUGAUGCUAUCACUUUGGGAAGUGUUAUGGAGGUUGGAGGUGAACCCAAGACAUCCAAAUCAAGCCAAAACAUGGAUGAACAACUGCUGCUCAAAGAAGAGGAGAAUAACAGGCCACGGCAAGGGAAGAACCACCUUUGCCGCAACCCCAUAUGCCCUUUAUGUCGUCCACUACAACCAAGGUAAGCCUAAAUUCAAAUUGUCCUGACCCCGUUUCACUAAAUGUCCUUAUUCCUUGCAAGAUCAUGCAAUCUAAGGAAGAAGAAGGUGAGAAAGGCAUAUUUGAAACCUUUCCAAAGAAUCAAGAGCAAGAAGUGGAUGGGGAAUGUAUAGAAUUCAUCAAAGAAGAUACACUUGAGACGAAAAUUCCCAAAGAAGUUGGAUUUUAUGACAUGGGACAAGUCAUAACCCUCAAAACACCAAAUCUGGCCAAGUCCCAUAUCCCUGCAACCUUCAAAGAUGUGGUGUUCAUAAUUGAGUUUGUGUUGGAGCAAGAAAGUAAGCCAUCUUCUCCAACUUCGAUUUUAUUUUAUACUAACUUGCUGAUUUUAAUGAUUCAGGCACCUACACUAGAAUUUAAACCAUUGUCGGAUCACGUCAAGUAUCACCUUCCAUUCAAUGAUCAAUUCCAUGCUAUGGGCCUUAUCCAAGUUUAGAAGGAAGUUUCGUCCGGCUGAAGGACGUUAAAGCUAGCGCUUCUUGGGAGGCAACCCAUGUAUUCAAAUAAGGAAGAUUUUUGAAUCGCUCCACAAUCAAUUUUGCGUUUCUAAAAACCUUCCAUUUUCUGCAUUUCUAUUUUGCCAUGAUUGUCAUUUUUUAUUUUUGUUGUUUAUUUAAUUAUUUUUGGGUGUGGGUUUAUUUUUGAAACAUUGACAGAUAUGCAAGGUAUUUUUACAUUCAUUUUCAUGAAAAAAAGGAACAUUAAGCUGAAAAUUACAAGAGGGAGCUUUCACAAAGGCUGCUUAGGAGAAGUCUCAGUAGUCGUCGGAGCCUCAGCAGUCGACGGAGCCCCAGAAGGAGGAGGCAGCGGAGGUUGAUCAUUUGGAGUUUCAGUACGCGGUAUAGCCCCAAAAGACGAAGGCAAAUGCUGUUGGAACAAACCCACAAACCUCUGAUGAUCAAGUAAAAUCUGACCAUCAGAUUCCUGCAUCUGGUCAAUCUUCCUCUUCAUGUUUGUAGCAUAGUUAUGUGCGAGCCUGUGCAACUGUUUAUUCUCAUGCUUGAGCCCUCUAAUCUCUUGCUUGAGACUCAUCACUUCAGCCGCCAAUGAUUCAACUUAACAGGUUCGAGCAAAUAGGCGUUGGGCCAUAUUAGACACAUAACCUGUACACUGAGAGCCAAAGAAUCCUUAACGGCCAACUCAUCAGACCGUUUGGAAAGUAGUAUGUUAUCUUUGGGAGUGACAAGGUUCCGGGCCACCACCACAGCGGUCAUGUCAUUCUUCAUCACCGAAUCCUCAACGGUAAGAGAACCAGUAGGGGAUAUGAAGGAUGGGCGCCAUAUGUUGUCUGGAGAAGGCUGAACUACCUCUUCUCCAAGGUUUAAGUCAAAACGAUGGUCAGAGGGGCCAACCAUUUUCAGAGGUGUUAAAGAAAGAAGAGGUCGGACAAGUCAAGGUCGUAUAAGUGCAAGAAGGGAGUUUCUGCAGGCAGAAAUUCAAGUGUGCUUUGAACGUCCUGCGUACCUCUAUAAAAAUUAGCACUCGACGGGAUUUCAGAGAUCGAAGAGGUGAGCUCAGAAAUCGAAGAGGCCAACUCAAAAAUUGAAGAGGCGCCAACUUUCUCAAAAGAUGGGCUUGCUCAGAAACCACGGGCCAAUCUUCUUUUCCAAAUUUGUCCGCACUUGUCACUUGCAACCUCUGCACUCGACGGGAUUUCAUAAAUCGAAGAGGCAAGCUCAGAACUCGAAGAGGCAAACUCAGAAAUCGGAGAAGCAUCUGCUUUUCCAUAUGUGUCAGCAUCUGUCACAUGCAGAGUCAGCUUUGCGAAAAUCACUGGUAGUUUGUCGAAGCGUCGAUUCCAGAUAUCGAAGAGGUACUUGCUUUUCCAGACGUAUCAGCGCCUGUCACAUGCACACUCAGCCUUGCGGAAAUUACGGGCAAUCUGUCGAAGAUCUCUUGUGAAGUAGAAAACAUAUGAAGUUUACUAUUAAAUCAUCCAACGGUUGCUGACAAGGGUGAAAGAAUAGUACCGGUUAUUAAUUCCUAUAAAUGUCACCAUUCACCCUCAAUUGCAAUGCAGACAUACAUAACCCUUAUUCUUAUCCGAGAAUGCCUUUCCAACAAACCCUCUCGAGUCAUUCAGUGUUCCUUAUUCCUUGGGAUACCUCUGCAAACAACUCAUCCAAAGAAAAAGUAUUUCAUAUCAUGAAGUUUGAAAGCAAGAGUAUCUCAUAUCAUGCUUUCUCCUUGUCCUUCUCCUUGUCGUUGUUUUCAUCUGCGGGACAAGGAAAAAGAGAGCAAUCAGCUAGCACUCAGUAUCAAUCUUCCAAUCUGGAACCGACUGCCUGGAACCCCUUCCUGAUUGCUUACCUAGCCCUGCUCUCGAGUACUCAUCUUCAACAUCUUAUGCUUCCUAUUCGUUUACCACAUCUGUAUGGGGAACAGAUAAGGGAAGUGAAAAUGAUACCUCGAAGCAUGUGGAGACAAUGUGCUAAUUCAUCCUCAGCUAGGGACAAGGAGAAAGAAAGCAAGAGGUGGGCACUUGGAAAGAUUGAAGAAAGAAACAGACCAUCACCUCUACCUCGUGUCUGCCUGCCGUGCAGAAGAAACAAGCAAAGAAGAAUGCAGACUGCACAAUCAAAUCAACCCAGCAGAAGGAGUCUGAUUUGAAACCAAGGAACUCUCGUUCAGAAUUCUGAACCAGUUCGAGAUCAAAGCUAUGGAAAGAUAACAAGAUCAUCUAUCUCCAAAACCAUAUUUGCGUUCUUAAACUCUACUCUGUUUGGUUUUUACUUUGCCAUACUUGUCAUGUUUAUUCGUUGUUUGUUUGAUUGUUUGCUUGUGUUUGUGUGAGUUUAUGCUUGAAACAUUGAGGACAAAGUUUGAUUUAAGUGUGGGGGGGAAACCAAGUUGUUUUGCAUGAAAUUCGUGGAAGUUUAUCAUCCAUUACUUCUAGUGUUGUUCCUUGCUGUUUUUAAGUGUUUUAUACUGUUUUGGAGUGUUUUAGUGUGUUUUGACAUAAAAAUCCAAAAAUUUCAUAAAAAUUUGAAAAAUUGUUUUGAAAAAACCCAAAAAGAGUUGUUUCUGUGUGUUUGUUUGUGUCUUAUGGUACCUUCCAACACAAUGAUGAGGAUUUGGUUUUUAAUUACAUGACUGUUAAAGAGAGUUAUAAACAUGGAUGAAAAUUUGAUUUACUCUUUGGUGUAUGCUUGGUUGUGGUUAUAAUUUAUGAAUUCACAUUAUAAAGGAAAAAUCAGUUUUUGUAACAUGCUUGAAAGAAGGAACUCAAAUGAACGCUACAACCUUGUGAGACUUGAGUCUAAACGUUUGUUUGGAGAGUUAAUAAUAUGUGCAUCAUUGUUUUCUAAAGUUGUUGCAUGAUCUUAUUAUUCUUUGCUUGGUUGCUACUUAGAAGGCGUUUCAUCAUUUAGUUCCAAAUGCUAAAACUCAUGCCUAUUUCAUUCAAAGCAUGUCAUUGAUUUGCAUAACACAUAUUCAAGAUGAAGUUGUGUAGUGACCACCAAAGCCAAAUUGUAGUGCCCCUAUUUCAUUAUGUGUUUAAGUUUAACCCCAUUGAGCCUUGUUAAUCCUAUGUUCUUUGUUAACCCACACUAUCCUUACCUAGCCUAGUGUUAGGACCAUCCAUACCCUUGUUCUUGAAGCAUAGUAAAUCAUGACUUAAAAUGAACUCCUUUUUUAUCAAUGUAUUGCAGAAAGCAAGUGUGGGGGAAGUGAUUCUUGUGUGUGUGUGUGUGUGUGUACCAGAGUCCUUAAUAAGGCACGGGUAGAGAAAAUAAAAAAAAAAGCAUGAAAAAGAGCUCUAAAGUGUUGUUUGUUAAAAAAUGGUCCAAAACAUUGAAUUCGGCCCUAAGUGUUGCAUGAAUCUUCCCUUUGUAUGUAAAAGUUGAUUCUGCAUUUUAAAGUGAUUUCCAAGUGUCUAUUUCAUUGCUUUGCUUGCUAUCGCUUUAAGAACGUUUGUUAUCCCUAUCCUUUCUUUGUUAGCCAUUACCCCCAAGCCCUGUUACAACCAUUGACUUCAAUCUUGAGUGUUGUGUGUUUCAAUUUGUGGAGUUCGAAAUUGGUAUAAGCAUAUGGUGUCACUGGUUCUCGCAUCUAAGUAGUAGCAUUCCAUUCAUGAGAUCAUAUCUAAACAUGCUUAAUAACUCCAGAAAAUUGCUUUCUUUGUUAUAACAUAUGUGAGUUCUAAUCUUUCGUGUUUACAUCAAUCUUCUCACAUAUACUAGUGUAGGGUGUGUAGUCAGAAAAUGUGUGUGAAAAUAGAGAGUAUCUUGUAAAAAAUUGAGCAAACUCUCUAAGGCAUGUUACUACAUUCAAAACAACGUUUUAAUUGAUUAAUUGUGAAAUAGUAAGUGAUGACUGUGAUUAAGUAUGUGCUCAAGUGUAAGGAUGACCAAAAUCUGUGGGAAUGAGGAUUUUUAACACGUCAUGUUUCAUUAAAUCUGUGGGAAUGAUGAUUUUUAAUUGUUUCGUUUUGUUUCUUUUGUUUUGCUCGAGGACUAGCAAAAGCUAAGUGUGGGGGAAUUUGAUAGGAGCAUAUUUAUGCAACUUAGUUAGCUUGUUUCUUGGCAUUUACUUAGUUUAAUUCUAGUUAUUUUAGUACUUUAAGCUAUUUUCGUGUGUUUGUAGGUUCAAAUAACAAAGUUAGCAACAAAGUGCUAUUUGGAGCAUUUUGGAGCAUUUUUGGGCCAAGAUUGGAUAGUGCAAGCAUGGAGACAUGAGGAUGGACGUUUUUGAAGAUUUGAAGGCUAGAAAUCAACAUGUAUGUGUGCAAGUGUGUUGACCUACAACUACAAACAUCCAUCCACUCAUUACCACAACACUCACCCACUACACCCAUUACAUCCAUUCAUUAUCAAACAUCCACCCACUACACUCAUUACAUCCACUCAUUACCAAACAUUCACCCACUACACCCAUUACAUCCACUCAUUACCACAACAUACACCACUACCACCUUAAUUAGAUGGUGAUCCUCUCCCUAGCCUAUAAAUACAUCCACCCUUCACCAUAACAAGGGAGAAAAAAAUCCAUCCAAAACACACACACAUCAUCUACACAAUUCUCCACUCUUUGCCGCAUUCAAUACAACCUUCAUCCAAACACAUCCAUUCAUCUUCACAUCCAUUCCUCCAUACAAACAAACUUUCAACCACUUACCAACACCUUGUGCCGUAGCAAAGGAAGGGAAGGAAAGUGCUUGGAAGUGCUUGUUGUCCAACUUGGAUCGUUUGAGCGUUUAGGUGUUUUCUUUCUUUUGUUUUCAAUGUUUAAAUUCAUUUUCUUUUGUUUUGUUGUGAAUAUGAGUGGCUAAACCCUUCUUGGCUAGGGGUGAUUUCAAAGCCAUGAUUAUGUGUGCAAUAUAAUUUGAUAAAUUCCAGUUAUGAACUCUUGAAUCGUGAAUGCAGUUGGCUUAACUAUUUGAUUGAUAACUUACUUGUAUUUGUUAAUUAAGGGUCGACACUUAAUUGGCAUGCAUAAAUCCGUUGCUAGAAUAUAAGGAAGUUUCACAUAAUCUUUACAAACUUAUAUUCACAUGUAGUGAAGGUCGCUUAUAAACGAUCGCGUUAAGUUCAAUUCCUAGCAUGAGUGACAUGAUGUCAUAGUUGCAAGUGCUUUGUCAAUGCUUAUGAUUUUCAUUAAACUUAAUGAUCUUUUAUUGUAUCUCUAUUAUGAUGUCAUGUAGGGAACUUUAGAAGAAUGUUUUGGAUUGUCGAAUGAUGUCAUCCAAUCCAAUAAAACAAGGAAAAUCUGAGAGUUAACUAGUGAUGUCACGGUUAAUUUGGAGCAUUGUCGUUCAUAAUUCAAUGAAGUAGUAACUGGAAAUCGAGUUAUUUGCAUACAUGUUAUGUGUGGAGAAAAAACCUCUAGCUAUCUCAUCCAUCAUCUUAUUUCUCAUAUUUGUUUUACAAUUUGUCUAGUUUUUCAUACUUGUUUGUUUACUUAAACUUCGUCCAAAACUCAAUCCCCCUUUACUUUAGUGUGUCUAAUUAGUUAGAAUCUGUUUUAAUUUUUGUUUUUAAAUGUUUUGAUUCAAGUAAAAGUCAAUUUUCAUCCAAAGUCAUUCCUAGUGUCUAGUUUAAGUUUAUUUAGUUGUUUUAAGCUGUUUUGAGUAUUUUAAGUUUGCUUUGAGUCUUGUUAAGUAAUUUUAAGUUUAGUUUUAUGUUUUUGAGUCAGUUUAGAGGUUAUUAGCAAGCCCUCCUAAUCUCCGGUAUAGAACAAUCCCUACUUACAUUCUUUACUACAAUUGAUAAAAGAGUGUUAAAUUUGUGUGGUAAGAUAAUUUUCGCACCAUGAUGCAAGACAUCAUGAUGGAGUCCAAAUUUUCUCGACUCCACCUUCUUGCCGAUUCCUUGAUGAUCUUCCACCAUGCUUGUAGAACACCAAAAACUCUCAACAUUUUUCUGGUAUGCCUCUUGGUGUAAGGUAAAACACUCUUUGGCGUCAUUUUUAGGGUUUGGAAUUGCUUGGACAAGUGUUGACCACUUUGGGUAGAUGACAUCUGCCAAGUAAUACCCCAUAUUGUAUUGACGGUCGUUGAUGUAGUAGUCAAGUUGAGGUGAUUUACCUUCCGUCAGGUUAUUGAAGAUGGGUGAACACCCAAGAACUGUAAUGUCAUUUUGGGAUCCAGAGACUCCAAAGAAAGCAUGUCAGAUCCAUGUGUCAUACGAGGCAACCGCCUCUAACACAAUAGUUGGCUUUCUCGACCUUCCGCUAAAGCCUCAUUACCAUCCAGUGGGACAGUUCUUCCAAUUCCAAUGCAUGCAGUCUAAUGACCCUAUCAUGCCUGGAAACUCACGGUCUUCAGCUUUGCAAAUGAGUCGAUCCAGAUCUUCUUGAUUUGGCUCGCGGAGGUACUCCUUUUUGUAAAGCUGAACAAUUGUGUUACAUAAUUCAGCAAGAGUAUCGAGGCAUGUAGACUCAGACAUACCAUGGGUUUCAUCCAUCGAAUCAGUUGGGGAGGCAUAUGCCAUCAUUCGUAGUGCAACAAUAACCUUCUGAUGAGGUGAGAAACCAGGGCGGCAUGCUCUGUCCAGUUUCUGUUGAAAGUAUGGAUUGACCUGAUGGGCAUCAUGAAGUAAACGCUUGAAGACAUGACGCCCCAUCUAGAAGCGAUGUCUGAAAUCAUCUUCUGUGUACAUCAAGUUGAGGUUGAAGUAGUUGUUCAUCAAAUUGGAAUGCGUCAUUGCUCUAUUUCGUGGUUUGUAAAAGCGACCAGCAACAGAGCCACCCCAUAGAGGUUGUUCCUCAGUUGGCUGACACACCAUGGCCGCAGCCAUGGCUGCCAUAUAUUGUGUGUUACGUCAUGCUUCAUCUUCUUCAUAAACUCAUCAUCUUCUCGUCUCAUCUGCGCCCAUUUUUCUUCCAAUUCGGAAUUGGAUGAGGACCCCCAAUUGGAAUUCGAAGAUGAUCCAAAGUUGGAAUUCAUUAUAAACUUGAAUUGAAAGAGAUUGAAAUGAAAUAGAUUGAAUUCAAAGGUGUGUGAGUUAUAGCCCAAUAUCCAUCCUAUUUAUAACAAAAAACAAUCAAAUCCAACAAUUAGCUGACGUCAUGCUGACAUCAACUAACCGUUGGAUUUGAAUUUGAAUUUUUUCGGCCAAAAUUUGUAAAAAAAUAUUAAAAAAUUCUCAUUUUUUCCUAUAAAUUUAAGUUGUUGUAGUUUUUAAAUUUAAUUUGUAGUUUUUAAACAUAAGUUAUAGUUUUUAAAUUUAAAUUGUUGUAGUUUUUAAAUUUAAAUAAUAAAUUAUGUUUGGCCUUAUGUGACUAUCGGUUAGAAAUAGUAAGAAAUAUGCUCAUGCACUGUUUAUUAAAAUAUUAAUUUCUUGAAUGAUCAGAGAGCUAAAACGAGCCAUAUGUCAUUCGUUCAGUUGAAAAUGGUCCAAGUAAGACUAAAAAACACCAACACUUUUCACGAGAAUAGUCCACGACCAUGUCCAUAUAUAUCCAAACGGACCCCCAACCAAAUGGAAUUCUGCAUGCCCUAUCUCUAUCUAGCUGCCCGGUCCUUCAAAUGCAGAGAAAGGAGCUAGCGCAAUAGCAUAGUAGGCCAUGUCAUCAUCAUGAUUGUCGUUUUCCAGAUUUUGUUUGUCAAGUUGCUGGUUUUGAUCUUUCCAGUUUUAAAUAAAUAUGGACAACCAUACGCGCUGUUCAUAGAAAAAAAGGCAAUUGUGAAUAAUUUUCAGAGGGACAAGAUUCUCACAGUGUCAUACUAUAAAGAAAUAUCUCACAUUAAAAGUUUAUCAAAUCUUGUUGCUUAUAAAGAGUUGGAUACUUCUCAUAUUGUCCAUGAAUUUUAUGUAGGAAUCUCAACUUUCUUUAUAGUAUCAGAAUCAAGUUGCUCUACGACGUCACACGUAAGUAUAAGCCAAAUGGCCAUCUGUGCUACAUAACAUUCAAUUUGUAGUGCCAUGUACUGUAGGUAAGAAAAAGGAAAACGAAAAAGAAGUUGCAUAAAAGAACGAGAACACAGAAACUUAGAUAAUGAGACAUGCCUGCAUGGUGAAUGGUGAUGGAGUAAAAAGACACAAGAAAAAGUGGAAAAGGGGAAAACAAAAAGCUAAUGAAUUGAAAUUCAUCCAGAAAUGUGUGAAAAGGACUAGUGUGGUCGAAAUCUUCACAUCUCAAAAAUGAAGGAAAGGGUGGGUUCUGGUGAAUGGUGAUUUGUCUCUCCUUCACGUGUUCUUAGCUUGUGACUGUGUCAGCAACGUCAGAAAUGCAGAAAGAGAACAAAAGGAGAAGAGAAAGAGUUCGAGGGGACGAUGGUCCAAAAGACGAAUAACUUUUACAUGCAAUGCCCACACCAUAAUAUGUAUCUAUCUACUUCUGAUCGAACUGCUUCAUCUAUUAAUCUUUUGAUUAUUUACAGUAAAUUAUUUAAUCUUUUGAUCACUUUCUCUAAUUAUGUAUUAGGGAUUCAAAUUAGUCGGCUUACUUUUUGUGGUAGAACGUGCUGCUUUUUGUUCGUAUCUGUUUUUGGUUCUCUAGUUGUCAGUUGUCCAGACAUUUUUCACUGUAAAAAUGUUGGAUCUUAUUUACAAAAAAAAAAAUUCACUGUACAGAGAGGGAGGGGAUGCGGCACAUAGAGAAGUGAGAGACGAGUAAUUGUGAGGUAUAUUAUAUUCCACGCCAUUGUACUUUUAUUUAGGGGUGUGCUAUCCAGACACCCCAUUUUACUUCUCACACACCCCUUGAUAAUUUAUGUCCGGUGAUCUUCUUCAAUUCAUCCGAUCCGACAGCCGAAAAUUAAAAAUUUUGUGAGAGGUAAAAUGGGGUGUGUGGAUAUCACACCCCUUUAUUUAUAGUAGUAGGGAAGGUUAAUUCCUUACCUAAUAGGAUUAACUCUAAUAGGAUAAUAUUUAGUCUAAGAGAUAUGGUAAAAUCCCAUAAAGAUAUCUUAGAUAUGUUAGAAUUUACACAAUUAUAUUCCUAAUCUAACAGGACUGCAACAUAAAUCAUAUUUUACAAAAAAAAAAAAGUUGACGUUAGAGAGAUUAUCUAAUUUGAACUAUAUUUAUAAAACACAUAAUAUAUUUUAUAAAAUAUGGUCCAAAAAUAUGAAUCUCUAGCAUUUUUCUUUACAAAAGUCAUACUAAGUGCUCUUAUAUUCUUUUUGGUUUCAGAUCUGUACGAAAUUGUUUUUGUCAAAAACACUUCUAUUUAUAAGUACUCUUAACAAAAUUUCAAACACUAGAAAGCUUUUUUGAUAAAGCGCACGUGCUUUCAUAAAAAAUAGUUCUAGAUCCAAAAUAACUUAUGAAUUUUUCUGCCGAACGUAGUUAGAAACUUAGAAAAAAAUUGAUUAUCAGAAAGCGAUUUGAAAAGUAGUCUUAAACAAUCUUUUAGCGUAUUCUUAACUUGUUAUUGAGUAACAAUGCUAAAGAUGUUUUUGUACUUGUACCAAGUUUUUUUGUACCUCGUAAUUAAUAAUAAGAAAAUAACAAAUUUCGGCAUAUUAACUAAAACUUGGUUAAUAAGUUAUAUGCUUAAUAUAAUUGUGAAUAAUAACAUGCUUUUCAAUUAUUAAUACUUGACGUUAUAAUAUGAAGUAUAAUAAUUUGAGUGAAUUCAUAAUUACGUCAUGUCAACAUAUUACCGUUACGCCAAAUAAUAAAUUUCUUGAAUUCUCUAUGUUAAAUUUUGCCUAAACCCCUUGCUUAAUGAUGGUCAUGCAUAACCCUAACUAGAAAAUUUAAUUAGCAAAUACUUAUCUCCUAAUCUAGGGCAACAUAUAGCCGGUGGGAGAGGGUCACAAGGCCACAUAGUUUUUUACUGCUAGGCUUUUGUUGGCUGUAAAAGUAAGUAAAAAGUUAAGUAGUAAAAUAUACAGAAGAGAUCCUAUACAAAUAAAAAAAGAGCAAGAGGAAAAGGUUGAUGGUGGUAAUGCAGAUGAAAGCAAAAUGUCAACCACUAGGCUUCAAUUUUCAGGAACUGAGAGAUACUUCUCUCACUGGGUCGGUCACGAGGGUUCAAUAUUAUUAGUGCAUGUCGACAGCUUUUUACCCUCUUCCUUGUAUUCUAUUCAUUUUCUUACUUCUAUCGGAAACUUUUGACACGUAUUAUUAUUUUAUAUGUUAGAAUAUAAGUAAAUGAUAUCGUAGAUAUAUAUCUCAAUUUUCGUUUAUAUUAAUAAAAAAUAAAUACACACGUUAUAAUUUGAAAAACAUAGUAACAUCAUGCCCGAGUAUUCCUACAUUGAAACCCUUCUCCUCUCUACCUUUUCAUAUGAGAGAUGAUCUUACACUCUUCUUUGGUUUCAGCCAUUGAAUGAAAAAAAUGAAACGAAAAUAAUAACCAAGAUUAAACAAGAGUGUGAAAAGUUAAAAAGAGUGCGUGUUUAUCAUUUUCGCUUAAUAGAUUAAUUGGAAAAGGACCUAAAUGUAAUUCACAUAAGCUAGUUUACGAUAUCAACGCAGCUAUUUUCCUCGCUGUUAACGAAGCUGCAAUACAAAAAUGUUACAUUACUUUAGGGUUUGCUUGGUAAUGUAAUCACUUAUUAAGUAAUCAGUAGCUAAUUACCUUUUAGCCAUAGCAUCGUUUUCCCAUGUGAAUAUUGGAAUCGAAGACUUUGAGAACAAUGAAAAGUUGUCCUUGUGAGGUCAAAUACAUAUUAAAUGUUAAUUAGUAGUUAAUUAGCAUACAAUUACUGGAAUUACGGGUCCUUUUCUUGGACCAAAAACUAAAUUCCAAAACAAAUAUUAAUUGAUUAAACAAGGACGAAUUCGGACACUUCGUUUGGCGGAAGAAACAAACAUUUCAUGCAUCUGCAUGACUUAAAAUACAAGAUGCAUCACAAUCUUUCGUGUUGUCAUAUGUAUUGCCAUUCUUGGAGUAAAAAACCUUGUAAUUAUUGUCACAAUGAAACUUGGCAACAUGGAAAUUGGAUGGUUUUGUCAUGACUCAUGCAUGACGUAUCAUAUAGUGAUGUGGCAAAAUAUAUAUUGCAAAUUAGUGUCCAUUUCAGCUUAUUGUCUUGUUUCUUUUUUGUCAAGUUCAAUGAUCAAAAGCUUAAGAACUGUUUGAUAACCAUUUUGUUUUCAGUUUUUACUUCCUUUUUUUUUAAUUGAAAGUUUGUUUAGUAACUACUUUUCAGUGUUCAAUUAAAAAAAAUGAAAACUCAAACUAAAAUUUGAAAACACAAGGCCUUAUUUUGAAGGGAACUGUUAUUGGGACUCUAAAAAAUCUCAUUAUGCACUCUAAACUUUCUAUAUUUAGAAAGAAAAAAAAAUACAAUUGAGAAGUGCACAUUAAAAUUUUUGGAGUGCUAACAACAAUUCUCAUUUUGAAAACUCUAUAAAGUAGUUUUCAGUUUUCAUGUUUUUGAAAACUAAAUUAAAGUAGUUGCCAAACAAGAUUUCAGUUUCGGUUAAAAAAAUGAAAAUAAAAAUAAAAAAUUGAUAAGGAAUUAGUUAUCAAACGACCCCUUAAUUACGUAGUGUGCAAUGAAAAUCUUUAGGGUAUGUUUGGGUGAGGAACCUUGAAAUUCCAAGGAACUUAGACAAAGUGAUGAAGACAUGGAUCACAAAAAGUUAGAUAAGAGGGAUUAUAAAUGCAUCUUCAUGAAUAUAAACAUAACAUGAUAAAUUUGUACACUUUGUGAUGCUCAUUUGGUGCAUUUUUAUUUCCUCCUAUUUAAUUUUUUGUGAUCCAUCUCUUCCUCAUUAUGCAUAAAUUCCUUGGAAUCUUGAAAGUUCCUCGCCCAAACAUGCCUUGAGGAGUUUGUCUACAAUGGCUAGGGUUCUUAAGGUUUCUCAAUAUGUUUUUUUUAUCUUUCGGAAAAUUGAUAGGAUAUAUGUAGAAAGAUCUUUUAAAUUGCCAAUAACUUAUCUAUAAUAAGCUACAAUAUUAAAUUUUAGUACUCCUUAUGAAUAUGUUGUGAUCGUAUGUUAGACCAAACAUGAGAUCUCCUUCAAUCGAGUGGAGACUUGGUGCUGCAAGAUAACUGAUCAUGUGUCUCAAUAGGUGUUGAAUGAAAAUGUUUGUUGUUCGAGACCAUGGUGCUUAAGUGGAAAAAUAUGAAGAAAGUCGAAAUUCCAUUAUAAUUAAAAUUACUUGGUAAUAUUGAGAGGAGCCAAACUCCUUAUAGGCUUAUAGCUUUUGUAUGGUUUGGUCCCUCACGAUUUGGGACUUUGUCCUCACAUUCUUACACGUCCCCUCACGUAUUGCGAAUUUUCAAGCCUACACAUGAACAACACAAACAUGAUGACGUGUAACACGUGUAGUAGUUAGCCUUCACACACGUGUGGCUGUUUGGGCCAACCUGCUCUCAUAUCAACAAAGUUGGGGUUCCACCAUAAAACCGUCAAUUCUUAUACCAACAUUAUAAAACAUUAUACUAAAAGAAUAAGGUGGCAAAUAGUUCAUAGAAAAUCUCACUUUAGAGAAUUUCCUUAACCUUUCUCAUUUAAGAAUGGUUGCUGCAUCCAUGAGUACUAGCAGUCCCCCAAAAUAUGCAACAAUUUCAUCGAAAAUAAAUGCUCCCAUCCAAUUCCAAUCUGAUGAAAGAAAGAGGUUAGCACGUUUAAUUUGUGGCAGGUAAUAAAUUAAAUGGAAGAAAUUAGGUUUGGUAAUUAGUUGAUUAACUUGUAGUGCUAGGGUUUUGUCUUCUCACUGUGGAGAGUAACAAUAACGACGGACUGGUCUCCCAAAGACAUCAAUGUGCAUCGCCAGAUAUCAUAGGAAUGGUCGUUCCAAUUUCUGAACGCCAAUGAAAACGUCAAACGCUUUACGAUGAACCAUGCACAGGAGAAAAUUUUAAUUGUGAUGGGAACAUAUGUGGUUCACUACGUGUUUUCUAUUGUUUUAAUAGAAGUGGUGAGAAUUUUUAUUUUUUAAGUUAUUAACUUUUUAGCAAACAUAUCCCACCAUUUGUAUAAUAACACGUAGUGUACCUCCCCGUGUAUCGAUCACAUUGAAAAAUCUCUCCAUGCAUAGAGCCACAACCCACACCCUUCCCUUCUUUUCCAGUUCUUCCAUAUGUUUGUUUCUAUCGCUAGCUAGCCUGCUUGGCUUCCACUAAUCCUUAUGUGUGUGUUUGAGACUGCUUCUGUAAAUUUAUAAGUGGGUAUUGGGUAUAGAAGUGCCUUUUUCAUAAGCACUUGGGGCUGUCGUUCUGAAUGUUUUGAGCUAGAAAGGUUCUUUUUAUUAUGUUUGACAAAAAAACUUGAGGCAUGUUUGAGACAGCUUCACGAAGGGGUAAAAAUUAUUUAUGAUAACUAAAGGUGUUUAUGACUACGUACGUUUGACAAAAAACUUAAAUGUGCUUAUGAAUUGUAGAAUGUUUUCUCAAAAAGCAUAUGAAGAAGCACUUCCAACUCUUUUUUUAGAAAUUUGGAAUUUCAAUAAAAAUUCAUUGUAUCUCUAAUAAAACACUUCUUGUAAGUGUUUUCUAAAGAAUCAAAUCCAAACGAGCCUUAUUAGUUUGUAUAUGCGAUUAUGGUUUUCUUAUAGCAUUUGUAGCAUAAGCACUUAUGAACAAUAAAUACUUCCUACAGAAGCAGCCAACGAGCAGAGAAAGCCCAUUGUCCUAUGAAGAGUAGCAACUAUGAAUUUCAAAAUGCGCUUAUGAGCAAAAGUGCUUCCUACAACAACAGUCCCAAAAUAUUUAACCUGCUACGAAUAAAAGUGUUUACAAGCAUAAAGUGUUUCCUGCACAAGCGGUUCUAAACCAACCCUAGUUAUUUAAUCCAUGAGAAACAAAUUAAAAGUUAAAAACAAAUUAUAAAUGUCACUCAAUACUACGGUCUGGUGAUAAUACUCUUCACUUGGAAGUGAGAGGUCUUAGGUUCGAAUUUCGUGGAUGGUGAAUUCGAUAACAAAUUAAACUGUUCAUUUUGUGGCUUAACCAAACUUCUCCUCCUCUUAGUGUAAAUAUAUCGAAGCACGAAAAAAAAAAUUACAAAGAGAUUAAAUUCAUCCAUCCACAAACAGACGUUUAGCUAAUCGCCAUUAAUCCCACUCUCCCACCACGAGCAACCCUCUCGCCACCCUCCCUCCCUCCCACCUUUUCCUUCUCGGUUCUGGAAAAAACCAGAUGCUUCCAAACGACAUAACUUCGACGUACUAAUAUUAUUUAAACUAGCUUACCACUUGGGACCUCGUGUUUUGCUUUGAAGUACUUCGAGCUAGAGAGAGAAAGACACACUGAGUCAGAGAGAGAUUAAGAGAGAGAAAGACUGGAGAGAUUUAAGAGAGAAGAAGGAAUCCCAAAGCCGCUGUCCCAAUCUUUACACCGUUAUCUGCUUGGGACAUUGCAAUCCCCCUUGUUCCUCCCAUUGCCGAGAUCCCAUUUUUAUUAUAUCGGUCCAAUCCAUGAAGAAACCCGAACAUCAAACACCUUCCUCUCUCUUUGUCCCAGUACUAUUUAGUCCCGUUAGGUCCUCCAGGAUCUCCAAUAAUCUUCCCAAUGGCUACUUGUGCUCUUCUCGGUGACAAUGGCGGCGAUCGCAUCAGCGGUAAUGGCAGUAGUAACAACAACAAUAGCGAUAGCCUCGGUGGCGGUGGAGGAAACCCUUCUUACCCCAUGAACAACAGCACUACCAAUUCCAACAGCAGCAGCGUCGGGCAGCAGCCACCCAAGAUGGUGAGAAAGCGAAUGGCGUCUGAGAUCGAAGUCCAAACCACCCUGACAAGCAGAACCGCCGGUUCGGACUAUUUCAGGCUCUCCCGCCGCGGGAUUAUUAAUAAUAGUCCGCCAGUCCAGCCGGUUAAUCAAAAUCCAAACGCCAGUAAAGUGAAUAGUAGUAUGUUUUAUCCCAACCACUCCACUAUGCAGUUACCAGUACCAUCUUCCACAAAUUUUGCCGCUUUGACGUCACCUGGUGGGGCUUUAUUGUCACCUACUUCUCCUUCUCCUUCUCCUUCUUCCGCUGCAGCAGCCGGCACCUGGGGUCCUAUCGAUCCAUUGUCUUUUCAUCGUCCUCUUCCGGUUCAGCCGACGACGACCUCCCAGACCACUACUACUCCUGCCGUUUGUGGGUUUUCAGGCCUGCCGUUGUUUCCGCCAGAAAAGACUACGCCUUUGAAUACUAGUAUUACUGCUACUACUCCGUCGUCCGUGUCCAUGGAAGAUGGGUCCUCCGCCGCCACGGCGUGGAUAGACGGGAUCAUAAAGGACCUCGUCCACAGCUCCACCAACGUCUCCAUCCCCCAGCUCAUUCAUAAUGUUAGGGAGAUUAUCUUCCCUUGCAACCCCAGCCUCGCCGCUCUUCUAGAGUAUAGACUCCGGUCAAUAUCCGAGCCGCUGCCGCCGCCUCCUCUGCCUCUUCCAGUUCCAAGCUUUAAUCCAACCCCAAUCCCGGACAUAAGGAGGAGACAACAAGGUGGUCCUGGCCCUGGGGCUUUUAAGCUCAAUAUGGACUCCGGUGCACUACAAGACGUUGCAAUCUUCAACCCAUCAACGGUGGAAAACAAUGACUUGUACUUGCAGUCGUGGUCUGGAGGAGCUGGCGGAGGAGGAGUUGGGCUGUCCCUACCCCAACCCAACCCUACUCCUGCCCCUAUCACCUGCAACCAAACCAACCCACAUCACCAAAGCCCUUCCUUCAAUCAGGCAAUUCAUCAAACACAAGACAAGCAGUUAGAAAACUCUUCACCAUCCUCCCCUGCGGCGGAGGCCACCACCCCAACAGUUGCACCCGCACCCACAACCACCCCCGCCACUGCCCCGCCAGAACCAACAACCUCAGCAGUAUCCCUACUCAGAGAGAAAAAAGAAGAGAUGCGGCAGCAAAAGCGAGACGAGGAAGGCCUCCACCUCCUCACCCUCCUCCUCAAAUGCGCGGAGGCCGUCUCCGCCGACAACUUCGACGAAGCCACAAAAAUCCUCCUCGAAAUCUCGGAGCUCUCCACCCCGUUCGGCACCUCCGCCCAGCGCGUCGCCGCCUACUUCUCUGAAGCCAUGUCGGCCCGCCUCGUCAGCUCCUGCCUCGGCAUCUACGCCUCCCUCCCUCGCUCCUCCGUCCCCACCACCCACACACAAAAAAUGGUAUCCGCCUUCCAAGUCUUCAACGGCAUCAGCCCCUUCGUCAAGUUCUCCCACUUCACAGCCAAUCAGGCGAUCCAGGAGGCGUUCGAGCGGGAGGACAGGGUUCACAUCGUCGAUCUCGACAUAAUGCAGGGUCUCCAAUGGCCCGGGCUGUUUCACAUCCUGGCCUCCAGGCCGGGUGGGCCUCCGUACGUGAGACUCACCGGCCUCGGAACCUCCAUGGAGGCCCUAGAGGCCACAGGGAAGCGGUUGUCCGACUUCGCGGACAAGCUAGGGCUUCCAUUUGAGUUCUUCCCCGUGGCGGAGAAAGUUGCGAACUUGGACCCGGAGAGGCUGAAUAUCAGCAAGAGAGAGGCUGUGGCGGUGCAUUGGCUUCAGCAUUCGCUUUACGACGUCACGGGUUCCGAUUCCAGCACGCUCUGGCUUUUGCAGAGGUAACGUCUCUUCAAUCCUACACAGUCCAAUCCACUGCAAUCCGAUUCCAACACGCUCAGACCUUUACCACUUUUUCUGGUUAAUAUAUAUCAUGAAAAAUUCGAACUGGGUUUCUUUUGGGUUGCACUUUUUGAUGUCUUUGAUCGAUGUUGGUGAUCAAAGUAUCAAACUUUAUUAAGCACUAUUGCACUAGCUAGCGCUGACUAAUUAUUUAACAAAUAGUGAUACAUUGGGUUUAGAUCAACCGCAACUUUCAUGCACUUUCCAAAUCUAGUAACUGCAAAAAGCUGCACCUUCGUAGUGGGCAAGAAGCAAAAAUUAAAGAUUUGAUACUUUUUCUUUUAUUCCGUUCAUUUCUGAUCUUUAAAUUGAAAAAGUUGAAGCAGAUAAAAUUAGAAUUAAACAUAAGUGUGCUUAGGAGAAAUGAGUGUUCGAAAAUAAUUUUUCGUGUUUUAAUCAACGGCAAUAUUCAAACUUGGAUACAUUUCGGUACAAGGGUCGGACUAUGUCUCAUGUCUGCAUGUUUUAUUAAAUAUUACAAUGCACAUGUUAUAUAUAUUGUUUUUUUUAUGUUUCUGUUACUGUAUAUUGAUUCAGAUUGGCGCCAAAAGUGGUAACGGUGGUGGAGCAAGACCUGAGCCACGCGGGUUCGUUCUUGGGCCGGUUUGUGGAGGCCAUACACUACUACUCUGCCCUGUUUGAUUCCUUGGGAGCGAGCUACGGCGAGGAGAGCGAGGAGAGGCACGUGGUGGAGCAGCAGCUGCUCUCCAGAGAGAUUCGUAACGUUUUGGCAGUGGGCGGGCCGUCGAGGAGCGGAGAGGUGAAGUUCCACAACUGGAGGGAGAAGUUUCAGCAGACCGGGUUCAGGGGGAUUUCCCUGGCGGGAAAUGCUGCAAAUCAGGCCGCCUUGCUGCUCGGGAUGUUCCCUUCCGAUGGGUACACUCUGGUGGAGGACAAUGGGACUCUUAAACUGGGGUGGAAGGAUCUCUGCUUGCUCACCGCUUCUGCAUGGCGGCCGCCCUUUCAUGCCGCUGCUAAUCCAAACCUACACUAUUGAGAUGCUUUUGCCCAUGUAUGUAUGAAUACGAUGCUUGGCGUCGGCGGUUGAUGAGUUUGAAUGUAUUAUCUUGUUGUGCUUACCCUACUUUAAUCUUUUUUAGUUGAAAUUGAUGUUGAGUUUUGGAAGAAAACUUGGGUUUGGGGCCUAUGGGCCUUGGGGAGGGAGAGGCUAGGCCUUCUACGUUUAUGUUCGAAAAUUAUUUAUCGCACUUUUUUUUUUUUUAUCAGUGAGCGGUUGAGAUUUAACUAAAUAAGCUAUAGUUAAAUCUCAACCUUUCCUAUUUUUUUCUUCUUUCUAAAAUAAUGCUCAGGUGAGACUUGCUCUUGCUCCGAAAGGCUUUAAACCAUUGCCAAAAACUCUACAUUGUUGCAUCGCCUUGCAGUCGAGUAUGUAUCUUAGUCCUAGUGUGGUUCGAUGAUCCUCUGGGACCAACUACUGAUCAUUUUUAAUAGAGAAAUACUACCAAACUAAUAAUUCAACGUUCAAUGCCCUAUUUACAAAACAAACGUGUUAUGUUUGAUUCAACACCACCCAGGGGAAUUUGGAACACUAGUCUUUUUUGGGAGCCCUAGUAACAUUUGCAAUAACUUUUGCAUUUAGACCUUUUCACUUUUAUCAAAUAUUAUGUAUCAUUUUGUACAUAAAAACAAGACAUUUUAAUCAUUUCAGCUAGGGAUUAAAGAUGCAAAGCAUAAAAUAUAAUUUCAAAGACAUUAAAUGUCUGGUUUUUGUGUAAAAAAUAACACGACGUUUAAUAAAGUAAAACUGUCUAAAUGUAAAGAUAAGUGCAAAGGUUGCAUUUCUCAAAAAAAAAAAAAAAAAAAAAACCAAGAUUUAAAAAAGGCCUAAUUGGAUAAAUGGUCCCCGUGGUCAUAAGGUAUUCGGAUGAUAGCCCCUGUGGUAAAAAAAUUCGGAUUUAAACCCCUGUGGUCUAAGUCUGUUAGGAUUUAAACCCAUGUGGUCUAAAUCUGUUAGGAUUUAAACCUUUCUGUUAAAUAAUGCUGAUGUGGCUGCCACGUGGCUGCCAAAUGGCUGCCACGUGGCAAAAUAAUAAUUUUUAAUUUUUUUUUAAAAAAAACCUGAAUUAAAAAAAAAAAAAAAAAAAAAAAAAAAAAAAAAAACAAACAAACAAACCGGAUCUGCAAGAAGAAGAAGGAAGAGGGAGAGGGAGGAGGGCGCGAGGAGACGGCUCCGGCGAGGGGGGAGCUAGUCUCCGGCGGGAAGAAGAAGAAGAAGAAGAAGAAGAACAAGAAGAAGAAGAAGAAGAAGAAGAAGAAGAAGUCGCGCAGGGAGACCGGCGGGAAGAAGAAGAAGAAGGAAGAAGGAGAGGGAGGAGGGUCGCGCGGGGGAGAGGGCUCCG